AUUGUUCUCCUUUUGAAAAAGUAAUUGUUAGGCACUAGCUAUACUUACACUGUAUCAAUACCUGUAGAGGAAACAAUGCGGGCAAAGCAAAUGCUAGCAACCAUGUCUCAUGAGAUAAGAUCUCCUCUUACGGGGGUCGUUGGUAUGGCUGAGAUUCUGGGGACAACUAAAUUGGAUAGAGAACAACGUCAAUUGCUGGAUGUGAUGCUAUCCUCUGGAGAUCUGGUUCUCCAACUUAUAAAUGAUAUACUUGACCUGUCAAAGGUUGAAUCAGGUAUUGCUUCAGUUUUUUCUUGGACAGAUCUUGAGCUGGAAACUGAAGGACAAUGAUUGAUUCAUAGCACUUUGUAAUUUUUGUCAGCAUUGCCUUUUCAUAUUAAAUUAAUCAUGAUGACUUAAGUAGCCAUUGGGGGUUUAUGAAGGAGUUUGGAUUGAUGAAGAAAGAUUUAGAAAUGGAGUAGGAAAAGAAGUGCCCCGCUCAUGACAGUAAGGAAAUAGGUGACUGUUGAUUUCAUUCUGAGACAGUUGCUUAUUCAACAUGACCGGAUAUGGUCAACUUAGUAGCCCUAGUUCAAGAAUGUGCUGUCGUCAAUGUGCUUCAUGCUGAUUAUAUAUGUUAAAAAAAUUUCGAGUACCUUGAAAGUAAUCCACACAAGUAAAAAGAAUGCAAUUGACUACAGAAAUUUAUAUUGACGUUUGGACUUGACAGACUUCAGCAUACAUUAAACUGUUGCAGAAAAUCACGGCGUGUAUAACUAUGUCAUAAAGAUAAAAAACAGAAAUCAUAACAACUAUCUGAAGAUCAGCAGUUUUCUUGAACUUCACCAACUUUUUUCUCAUUUUCCAACUUUAGAACAGUUUUCUGUCAGAUUUUGGUUUAUGCAUAUCUAUUCACUGAUUAUAAAUGAGAAUUGCAUUCACUGUGAUGACCUUUGAUGAAGUCAUUUCAUUAUUUAAGGAAUCUCAGUAAUUGUUGAAUAUCAGUUCAGCAUAGAGAAAUCUUAACUUUGCUCCUUCCAUUUAUUUUAGGAGCAAUGAAGUUGGAGGAUACAAAAUUUAGACCAAGAGAGGUAGUUAGACAUGUCCUCCAGACUGCUGCUGCAUCUUUGAAGAAGGAAUUGAUGUUGGAAGGACAUGUAGCUGACGAUGUUCCAGUUGAGGUAGGAGUUUAAUUAGCAAACACUUUCUACAUUCAUGGAAUGUUUCUAUUUCAGUUCUUCCCUACAGUUCAAGGAGAAAGACUUUCUCAGUAUUACAGCAUCCACCUGCUCUGCAGAAACCUCCUGCUCAGUGAAAUUGCAAAAGAAUGGCAGUUAUAUUUAUUUUCAUGGAGUCAGAAAAUUAUGUAAAUAUUUCUAAUAAGAAAAUAAAUUGGAUAGCCUAUGCAGGAGCUCGAAGUCAAGAGACUGUAGAACUUCUGAACAUUUCUAGGAAACUUGGUUCCUAACGCAGUCACUGGUCAGUGUUAUUUUGCUUAAAAAGUGAUACGAGUUUGUACUCGGGAAGGUCAUCUAAUCUUAAAAGACUAAGCAUGUAUAUGGCUAGAUACUUGUAUGUCAUUUUGCAUAAUUUUAUGCAUCAUACUAAACUCAUAGUUAUUUCAUUUUUUUACUGAUAACCUUUGAUGUUUUCUUACACGUCUAAUUAAUCAAACAUAACCAGUGUCUGGAAACAGAAGAUGCUCCGUAUAUAAAAUAACUGUAUGUCACAUGUCAAUUUUCUUUUAUAACAAUAAUUUGGCUAAUCUGGUUUUUCCUUCAGCAAUUCUUAUAAUUAUGGCAAAUUGACAUUCUUUCAGGUUAUUGGUGAUGUUUUAAGAAUUCGGCAAAUCUUGACCAACUUGAUUAGGUAAGAAUUGGAAUUAGACUUGUAUUCCUGGUUUUGUAAAUGAUUGAACUGAAACUGGUUUAGUGCUUCCUAGUUCAAUAAACUAUUUAAAAUUGAAUGGUCAUGCUUGUUAUGAAAACUGUUUCUGCAAAUUGAGUAGCAUGUGCAGAAAUUUUAAUUCUAUUAUUGAGUGUUAAUAAGUUUGAACUCUUGUAUAAGUUAUUAGGUGAUUUCUCUGACUACUGGAUGCAUUAUUCGCAUCUAUUCCAAAGCCUUAUCCUCAUGUCUAUAAAAGUGAGGAAUUGUUCUUAGGACUUCACAAAAAACUCCCUAGCUCCAUAAGCAAAAUUUGAACACCUGCUGUUGAUUAACACUUUCUACUAAAGUUUGCUGUAUCAAAUCAAGAUAAUGAAAUCUUGGCUUUUAGUUACAUCUUUGCGGAGCCCCAUAGUAUGAGAUCCAAACUUCCUUUGCUUAUCCCAUCAUUGGUUCAAGUCAUCUGCCCCUCCUAUUCUCCAAAUGCACAUCAAAUUAGAUAGUGCAGCUUAGAAGUUAAAGAUGGUACCAUGUUUUCAAAUUCUGGUGGGAUGUCCCACAGGAGGCUGGGAUGGGGUAACGUCCCGUGUCCGGCCGUCGUCCCAGCAUACCGAUCAGCAUGGCCUGGGGCAUCUCUCAUCCCAAGUGUCCAAAUGAGGUGGGAUGGCAGCACCUGUUCCACAAAAAAACUGGGACAGCCCCAUCUCAUGAGGCUUAAAACCUUGGAAAGUACCUUAGUUAUCAUGAUGGAGGAAAGGAAAUUAAGACCCUCAAACAUGGAGGAACACAAGGAAACAUAAAUAUGGCAUCCAAGUAAGAAACCAAGGUUGGUUUGGGAGAUAACUAUUUCACCAUAAAAAUACUUACAGGGGAACAUUAGAGAUAUAUAUAUGAACCAUGCAGUGUCAAAUUACAUACAUGCAUGAAUACAUUCGUUUCUUUGGUAUCAAGUGACUGCAAUUUCCAACAGAUAGUAGUUAAUAUUCAUAUUAAAUAACUUUAGUACCCAUAGACAUGUAUGAGGCACUAAAUAAAUAUCAAGGAGUAGCAACAAGAAGUUUAGUCCUUCUCUUUCUUAUGUAACAUAUAAGGAAUUAUUCCUUGAAUAGGUUUUCAAAGAUAAGUGUGAUCAAUAUCUUUUACCUAAAUCAGUUCUCUUGUAAGGAAAAAAGACUUUUCACCAUUACUCCAGCUGAAUAUGCAAAUAUUUGGUAAAUCUGAUGGGGGACUGUGUUUGUUUUGACCCUGGGUGGGGGAAGAUUUACAGUGUGCCGUGCGAGAAUCUUGCAAUUUGUCUGUUAGUGAUGGAAACAUUGCGCAUCUUUUCUGUGUGCUUAUUAAAUAGAUAGAACAAGCCCUUUUGUUUAUGUUUCUCGUGUUUGAUAAUAACCUAUACUGAAUAUCUUGAACUAAUCUGCAAAUUAAUUUUGCAGCAAUGCAAUCAAAUUUACACAUGAAGGGAAGGUUGGGAUAAACCUUCAUGCGGUGUCCAAGCAAUGUCCAGGAUGUCAAGAACGACACAAUCAAGGUCUAACAGCUGCUUUACAAUCAACAAGACUAGCAAAAGAGAAUUCUUCAGAAACUCAAAGCUAUAUUGAUCGAGAAAGUUCACAUUGUUCAACUUGUCAAAACAAUCUUGACCAAAACAGUACCGAGAAGCAUCAUUUGACUAAUGAAGAUACUGAGAAGCAUAAUCAACAGUAUGAAAAAAUAGUGUGGCUACGCUGUGAAGUAUACGACACUGGUAUUGGAAUACCAGGUUCUUCUCAACUCUCACUUCAGACUCUGUAAACCCUUCCAUUUUCAUUGAUGUUUGUAUAGAAUAUAUUCAUGACAAAAAUGUUUGUAUAGAAUUUAGUUCUUUUCCUUUAUCUGAAAAUAUGCACUUUUAAAAUUCUUUUUCUCUGUUGUUGGAUUAUUUACGUGUACAUGAUUGUUUCCAUCAACAGAAAAGGCAUUACCUUCAUUGUUCAAAAAGUAUAUGCAAGCUAGUGCGGAUCAUGCUCGGAAGUAUGGUGGAACAGGGCUUGGCCUUGCAAUCUGCAAACAAUUGGUGAGGCACGUUAGCUUGUUUCAGAAUCAUUCUUUUCCAUUCAAAUUCCUUGGCUUGUUCAAAUUUUGAAUUUGAUGUCUGAGAGCAGUCUUUCAACCUCUUAAGUAGCCAUUCUCUCAUGUCGCAUCCUAGAGGUUGCAGGUUUUCCCAUAGUUUGUAUGGACAACAGUAGACAACAGUGUGACUGUACCAAGCACCUCUUUUUGAAUAGCGUAGUAAGGAUUCUGACUUUUGGCAUGCCUGCAGCCCCUGGAGGCAAUAAAAGUUUGAACUAAGCUUGUAGUAGUUGGCCUAGUGCAAUCAUAUAUAUGAUUGCAAUUAUUUAUGUUGGUGAAAAAUGUUGGACGACAAUUUUGUGUUUUCUCUAGCACCAGAUGGUCUAAAACAUUUUAAAUCUUAUUUUGAGCUGUCUUUAACGUUUUUUUGUUAGUUCCAAGUUCCAACAUUAUAAAGCUUUUUGUUCUCUUAAUAUAUUGAUCAUCUAGAUUCCAACCGAGUAUCAGCUCCAAUUUUAAUUGAAAUCCUGCUUUAACAUGACUCAAUCUUUUAAUUUCCACUCCUCAAUUUUUGGAUCUCACAACUUUUAUUUCUUGGAUCAUGGAUUCUCAAGCAUCAAAUUCAAACUUUGCAGACACUUCUUGCUAAACCUUAGAAAAGGUUUAUGUUAUCAAUUCUUGGCCUACAUUUCUCUCAUGUUGGCUUGAUUUAGCAGUUUGUUAUCUCUCUUUCCUUUUCUGGAGCAUCAGGCAUUCCAAACUUAGCCUCUUUGCUUUUGCUUCUCUUCCUAGACAUCUUUAGCGAGGUAGCAUAGGCAUACAUCUUGGAUUCCUUCAUAAUCUUUGUUUUUAACACAAAUCUUUAGUUUUUUUAAGCUGAAAUAAUUUGUUAAAAUGAUCUUGAAAAAUAAAUAAAAAACAGUACCAAAUACUUUUGUCAUCUUAUAGUAUGUACAUACCCUUUUUAUUUACAGGAAUUCUGUUUCCUCAAGGUUUUAGGAAGUUCAGCUUCUUUUAUCCUCAAUUUUAGUACCAGUUCAGGCUAUUAUUCUUAUACCGAUGCUGAUUAAUAUUUUUAUGAGCACACUCGUUUAUAAAUAUGUAGAAGUGCAUUGCUAUUUGUUGUUUUUUAGAAUCAUCAAAUUGGUCUUCCUAGUGCACAACUUUAAAGGUGAAAACCAUCUUGGUCCUGUGGACUCCUGGAUAUCUACAUUAGAAUUCUGCACUGCGUACAUUUUCAAAGAUUUUGAAAUAUACAUUGAUUUCGUGUUGAUAUUAUGAAUGACAUAAUAGAAUAUUGUUUCUUUUUUCCCUUUGUCUUAUAAAAAUAAACAUGGUUCUUGCACUUACUUUGUGAAAUGCAUCUGAGAUAGGUGGAGCUGAUGGGUGGAAAUCUUACUGUGACCAGCAAAGAGCAUUGUGGAUCAACAUUUACCUUUGUGUUGCCCUGUAAAGUUCCUUCAAAGAGGGAAAAUUCUGAUGAUCAUGAUGAAAAUGAAGCCAUUUCUGAUUCUGAAAUUACAGCUGAUUCCAGUAGUGAUGAAAUUAAUGGGUCAUUUGUCUUUAAGCCUCUGACACGGGGUACUUUAUUCUCAUCUGACGGAUCCAUGGUUUGCAAGACAAAACUCUUUGGCAGUAGCAUGCUUGAUGCCUUACAUAUUUCAAAUGGUUUGUCAGAGUCUGACUCAUACUCCUCUAAUGAUUGCACAUCAAGGAAGAGGCUUUCUUCUGAUAGGGUAUCUGCAAUUUCCGAUGCAAAAAAGAUGCAGGCUGAACCUAAAGGUCCUGCACAGCAAAGCCUAGGGCAUAAUGUUAAUGAUUUUGGGAGGAUAAACAAAAGAGAUGAAGGAUGCCAGGAUUCUACAAAUGGCUUUGUAAUGCAUAAAUUUGACAGUUCUAUUAUGGAUUCCAGCAGAACUCAGAGGAAUACAGGCUUGCAGCAAGGAAAGAUGGCAUCCUCAGAGAGAGCAAAUAUGGCUGAAAGUGUCAAGAGCUUACCAACAUGUCAAAGCCCAACGCAUGAGAAAGAAGAUACGUGCAUGUCAGAUGGAAGUUCAUUCAAGAUUCUUCUUGUCGAAGAUAACAAGAUCAAUGUAAUGGUGGCACAGUCAAUGAUGAGGCAGUUGGGUCAUAGAAUAGAUGUUGUGAAUAAUGGGUUAGAAGCUAUCCGUGCACUUCAGCGUUCUCAUUAUGAUCUUAUUUUUAUGGUAAUACCCUAAUGUGAAUUUUUUCCUUUCCAAAUUUCAAGUGUGAUAAAACAUUUAGAGAUUUAUUCAGGACCUAUUUGAUUCAGAUGGCAGUUAUAUUGUAUAUUUGCUUGCAUUUUCAUUACAUCUUAACUCUAUCAUGAAUUAGUAUUUUCACAAAUUGAUCUCAACCUAGGUGACAAUUAAUCUCAGAAUAUUUGUAGUGAUAAAUAAUAUUCAAAUCAAUCCUCCAACAUACUUUCUUUAAGAUGAUUGUCGCAGAGAUCAUUGUUACUAGGUAUCAUGAGUAUUGCAGUGCAUGGUGCCUUUUCUUUCAAACAAUUUGCUUAUAGCUCCAAGUAAAUUAAUUUAUAUGUUAUUAGUUUUUAUCCCAUUGAAAAUUUGUUUACAAGUUCUGAAUAAAUUUGAAAUAACCACUUGCAAUCAUUCAAGUCUCAUAUAUGUCUAUCAUGAAAUCUUGUUUCCUGUAAGUAGCGGCAAUCAGUUUUGAAAAGACACUAAAAAAUAGUGGUAGCAAUAUCAUGCAUUUUUUUAUACUGUUGUCUCAAAUUCUUGCCCUUUAGAAAUUAAAAGUGCUAUGGAAACUCUUUUAUGAGCUAAUAACCCUCAUCUAAUUGUCUGUCUCAUGUAAAUGGUUAGAAGAAAUGUCUAUCUGAUAUUAGCUUAUUCAUAAUCAAAGUAUUGGAAACUUUUAGUAAAUUUAUUGAAAACCAUUCCUAGGCCUCUAAUCGCCAUCCACAUCUCAUGGACAUACAAUAAUUGUUCAUUGCAGUUGUUGAUACUGGAAGGACCUUUACAAUAAAUUCAAAACUCUUUCUUGCUUUAUAAGUGCUGAUGCCAAGAAACAAUUGUUGUCCAUCUCAUUUGAAAUGCAAUCAGAAAUUGUCCAUUUUGAUGAUUUGUUUGUUGGGCAAGUGGAUGGAAUGUUAUUGUUUGAAUGACAUAAAGUGCCAUAAAAAAGCACACAUCAGCAUGUUAUUAGCACAAAAUUGGAAAGAUAACAUGAAUUCUAAAUGUAGUAAGCUCAGGUCAUGCCGGAACUAUUUUUGCAAGGCAAAGUCUUGUUUGAACUUAUAUUAAACUACAUGAGCUAUGAUCAGUCAUUAGUAAGCAUAACAUCUGUAUGCAGAACUAGUAGGCAUAACAGCAUUUUCAAUCAACCAAUAUGAAGCAUGACAUGACAAAAAGUCUUCCUUAAUGACAGGCAGUGGAGAGAUUAUUUCUACAAUAUUUUAUUACAUGGAAUGUUGGUGAAUGUUGCUUAGCAUUGGAACAGAUUGACUGGAAGCAAAACAGCACACUAGUUACACAUUACAUAAUUGAGGCUCACUUUAUAAACCUUAUGAGCCAGUAAUACUGACUCCAUGGUACUUGGCAGGAUGUCUGCAUGCCAGUAAUGGAUGGUAUGCAAGCCACCAGAUUAAUCCGGUCUUUUGAAGAAAAUGGUUACUGGGAUGCUUCUGUAACAAAUGGAAAUGAUCACACUAUGACCAGCUCAGAUUCACUAACACAUGGUCCAGAUGCAGGACAGAGCAGAAAAAGAAUUCCUAUCAUCGCAGUAAGUUUUCUAACAGAAUAGGCCUAUCACUUUCAAUCACAAUUCUCAUAUGUUAUUAUCUUGUUACUAUCAAGAAGAUAGAUACAUUUAAGUACACUGAUUUUCAAUUAACAUCUUUUUAUAUGCCAUGUUAUGCUUCUUUCAAAUUAUUAUACAUAGCACAUUAUCCUGUGUUUAAGGUAUUCUGUGAUUGAAAGAUUGAAAAGUAGGAUUCUUUGUCUGAAUUUAGAAAUAUGGACAUAUACAUUAGCUAGUCAUAUUAUUCAGCUAUUACAAGCAAGGUAGACAACAACUAGUCAUAUUAUUCAGUUAUUACAAAUAGGUCUGCAAUUUCGAUCUUGGGCACUGUACCGGUACGUUACCAGUUUGGGACAAUACGGUCAGUAUAGUACAGUACGUACUCCAUAUCUAAAUAGCUUCCGACCUCUUUUUUUCAUUUUUUAUCAUGAUACCACCCAAGACGGGACAGUACAGGUCGGUACGAUAUGGUAUGCAUCCUGAUUUCGAGCAGUACUAGGCAAUACGGGGCAGCUCUCCUCGGUCUAGACUAGUAUGGAUAGUUCGACUCAUAUAUCAAACCGAACCUAAGUACCAUAGUGGUACAAUACGAUAUGAUCGAUAUGUACAGUACAGAUCAUAUGGUAGACCUUGACUAUAAGUAUGUCUUCUAUCAAGCCGCAUCUUCCAAUAGACAAAUCAAGACAAACAUGAACUAUAAAAGGAAAAAUAAGGAAGUGUCUUGUCUGAUAUGUAUUGUUGUGCUGCAGAUGACAGCAAAUUCACUAGCUGAGAGUGCUGCUGAUUGCCUUGCCAAUGGUAUGGAUUCAUUUGUAUCUAAGCCUGUGACCUUUCAGAAUUUGAAACAAUGUCUCAAACAGUACUUGCCGUGUUGAAUAUUGUAAAGUGGUUCUUGCAAAAUAGAAAAAGAAGAAUGUAACCAAGGAAAAUUUUGUAAUUAAUAUAUUAAUAUAUCUUCUGUCUGCUUGUAAAUUGGUGUCUCAUCAUCUCAAUUUGUCUUAUCAAAUCUUCAUGAUUCGAAAUCAAGGACUUUACAGUUCUCAUACAGAUGUCAGUUGUUCAAAGUGUUUUCCCACACUUGAACAGUGUUAGGAUAAAAUGACAAAAGACAACUGAUGAAGCUGAGGCCAAAAAAAAUAGAAAAAAAAGACUCUAUCAUCCAUAUUUAUGUUUCAAAAGAUAUUUUUAUAUAUCCUUUUGUUUAUUUUGUUAUUAACUAAUGAUGCUUGCCCAUCUAGGUGCAAUUAAAUUCUUAAAAGAUACUGCAUGGUCCUGUUUACAUAUUACAAGUUAUCUGAUAUCAAUCCAGUUCAAAGAUCUGCACUGUAUGGAUGGCCAAAUGGUUAUUGUGUCACUUUGUGUCCUAAAAUUUCUCAUGUUUCAUUUACGAAAUAAAGUUUGCAGGAGAGGCGUAUCAGAUUCUUAUCUGCAAUACUCUUUGAUCAUCUUUUGGGCCCAAGAAGAGCAGCAAAAGAGAUCCAUAAGACCUAGUCGUUCUCUUCAUUAUUCUUUUUGCUGUGUUCCAGUUGUUUCAUAUAACCACCUGAACAAUAGUAAUUAGAUUCGUAUCUGCAAACCUGCAAUACUCUUUGAUCAUCUUUUGGGCCCAAUAAGAACAGCAAAAGAGUUCAAUAAGACCUAAUCGUUCUCUUAAUUAUCCUGUUUGCUGUGUUCCAGUUGUUUCUCAUCACCACCUGAACUAUUCAUACAAUAAAAUGAUUAUAAUGUCUGAGGACCAAUUGAUAUUUUCUGAAAUUUUAACACUACGUAUUCCAAGUGAACACCUGAGAGAGUCAAAAAUAAUUCAAUUUAUUUAAUAAUAAUAACUAUUAUUAUUAUAAUAACCUACUGAAGGUAGGGUCACUGUAGUCCCCGGCGCUCCGCCCGUCGGACUUGUACACGAACGGCAGCUCCGCGACCGCCACCUCGAACAUCUCUAGCACACAGCAACUCACCCUCUCCUGCCGAUUACACCAUCGCCACCGCCCACACCGCAUCGUGCGCCUGGAAAUCGUAGGCGCUCGCCUCGGCGACGUCCGAAUCGGGAUUCGCCCGGAGGGUUUCCCCCUUCCACCGCCUCUCGAACUCCCCGGAGCCGCUCCGAUCUGGGGGCUGAUGAGCACGUGGACCUGCUCGGACUGCGGCCGAUCGACGGCUGCAACGGAAUGAGGUAAGUAUGUAGCCACUGCUCAGCUGCGGUAGUCCGCAGGUUAUGCCUUGCAUCGCGAGGGAGCGGCAAGAUAAAACACCCAGUUUCUCGAGGGUGUCACGUGAUGCAGCCAUGAAUGUAGAGCCAAUGCAAGUGCGAUGCCCCAUGCAGCUUUUUUAUUUAUUUAUUUAUUUAUUUACUGAUUUAUACCAUUCUAAUAUGGAUGCAUUCAGAAAAAUUAAAAACAACAAAUUUCGGAGCGCUCUAAGCAACUCCUCUCCAACUUAUAGAAUACCUCCAGAGUAUGAGGCUACCUAGUCCGUGGCCCGUUAGCCUCUCUGAACAUGUGAUUGGCCUGGAAAACUAUACUGCCGGUGCCACGCUAUAUCCAGCCAAUUACUAUAGCCGAAUCGCUUUUAAGCAUAAUUGCACUAGCCUGCAACACGCGUCGAGCAUGGCCCAAGCUGACCCAUGCCACCCUCAGCUCGGCCUCCGAAACUGAGGUGUCGAAAAUCCGGCAACUACCACCCUAGAGUCCGAGCUUCUGAUGAUGAAGCCAGCACCUCCCUUCCUACCACUAUCUAGCACGCAUCCAUCGAAGUUAACCUUGAGGAAACUCGAAGGUGAAGGCUUCCAAGUGAAAAACAUCAUCUGAAGCCCUAUACGAGCAAAGAAAGAGCCCCAAGUGCCCUGAACUAUCGAAAAUCCAUACGAUGGAUCUGCAUAAGUGAUCUCUGCCGCUUGUACCCAGGCACGCUCCGCAACGAACCUCGGUGAAGGGAUGCUCUCGCGAAAGGUCCAGGCAUUCUUGGCUAGCCAAAUUUGAUAAGCAAUAUAGCUCACCCCAACAGCCACCUGCCGCGUCUGGAGGGCGUCGGCGCAUCGACGAAUCGCCUGCAAGAAGGAAUGCAUGCGACUCCAUAUAUCUGGCAGGAUCUCGACGAGCCUCCAAACCCUACUAGCUCACUCACAUUGGAGCAGAGCAUGGUCUACGGUCCCAUCCACCUAGCAGUUAGGGCACUAAGUUUGAAUGCCUAUUCCCCUCACACUCAACACCAAUCUCGUCGACAACCGACUCCGAGCUACUUUCCAUUCCAUAGGAAUAAUACCAUCCUUAGGUGAAGACCAAACCUCCAUAUCCAUGCACAGUCCAGCCUUGGGCGGUGCUCACUUUGGAGGACACGUUAGAUAUUUCUCACUCUAACACUAAGCCUGCUAAACGUACUCCAAACCCUCAUGUCUGGACCGGCACACCCCGGAACCGAAAGCAACCGGACCCUCUCUUGAGAUGCUCUCCAAACAACCGACUGAUCUUGCUGGUAUCCCACUCCACCCCAUCUGGCCGGAGCAAAUCACAAACCCGAAGUCUGGCAUGAGAAAUAAAUGGGUCCAGGCCCGACAUGAUCCAACCCACAGGAUCCAACCCACACUAACUCUUGACUCGGUCCGGCCUGUCAUGAGAGAGAGAGAGAGAGAGAGAGAGAGAGAGAGAGAGAGAGAGAGAGAGAGUAGUAGUAGUAGAGAGAGAGNNNNNNNNNNNNNNNNNNNNGAGAGAGAGAGAGGUGGUUUCAAGUGAGAGAGGAGGAGAUCUAAUGAGGACCGAAAGCUAAAAAAGACAAAUAUCGUGCAUGCAAGAACUAAACGUAUCUCACAUGAACAAAAACGUACAGGGGUCUGGGUCAACCUUAGAGACGGACCGAACCAAAUGUAUCUGCUUGAAUUAGUUUGCUUCGGGUUUUAAAUAGGAUUGGAUUGGUUGUAAUUCUAAUUCUUCAACAAUUGGAUUGAGCCGGGACCGGAGCAGAUCCACAUGCAUACUGUUUAUUGGAAUGUAACUUGUGGUAUUAGAUUUAUUCCUUCGUUAUCAUUACUCAUUAGCUUUUACUUUAUGUUUUAUUUUAAAUGGAUAGAUCUGACUGAACAUUUGCCUAUGCUUAUAUUAAAUAUUUGAACAAUCUUAGUGUCAUUUAUAAUUCCCUCUCUCCUAUUUAUCUCUUUUUCUCCAUUGACUUUUUAAUAUGUAUAAGAUAGCUUUGUAGUUAUAUUGACGCAAAUGAAAUUUCUUACCUUUAUUAUUUAGUUUGUAAUUUGUAUUAGACAUAGAUUAUAACUUUAUAUUUGUCUAUUUCUUGUAUAAGUUAUUAAGUUGAUGUUGUUGGAUUUUAUUUUGUCAUACGAAACAUCUUCGAUAAUAGUACCUGUGUUACAUUUGUGAAGGCUCAAGGUAAUAUAUUGUUCCUGUACAAAAUCAAUAAUUUACUUGCCCUUUUAAAAAAAAAGAAAUAUAACCCAAGAAUCGACCUGAACCAGCCUAAUGUUGAUUGGGUUGCGUUUGGCCGGUUUCCACUAUUGAUUUGUUCAAUACUGGCUUCAAAAAUCAAGAACCGGUUACCAUCAGAUCGGUUCUUACUUCUUAGCCUGUAACCAAAGUCUGUGUUAGCAUCUAUAAGGCGGAUUUGAGUGCCAUGCACCACAUGAGAACAAAUUUCUUCAUGCUUAAAAAAAAAACAAAACAAAGAGGAUCGAUCAUAACCAGCUAUAGAGGGGAUCACAUAUUUAUAAGAAAUCUGGCCCGUAGGUUACCAGCCGCACCACUCAGAGGUUUAUUUAAACCUGAAAGAUCGCCAAAGUCACCCUCUUUUUUCCCCUGAUUUUAAUACGCCAAGACAGCCCCGGCAACGUCUGCAGUCUAAUAAGACUUUUCAAGGAAGAAUUUUGGUUGUUUGAAAUAUGUUCCCGCACAAGAAAGUAGCCUUGCUUAAAGUUUUCCAUCGGAUACUGAACACUGCCUCGGAGGCCUCGUCCUUUUUUUGCAUCAUUAGGUAUUUACUUCCUAGCAAAUUUUUCAUCUGAGCGAGCGAGAGAAAGGGAUGGUUUCGACUCACGUAUUUGAUAGCGGAUGAGAAUCCCUAAGCAUCUAAAUCUGGAGGCUCGGAAACGAAGUAUGCGAUGCUUGGUAGCAAGACAACUUUUAAAAAGAAACGAGCACCCUUAAAAAGGAAUUAAUGAGAUGGCCUAUGAUACAACCAUCCGCCAGAACAACUUUUAAAAUUCAAUAUUCUGAAUAGCCAACAAUGUCUUAUUUGCACCUAAAAAUCAGGUAAUGUACACAUCAAUUAAGAUUGUUCUACAGUUACCAGGCACCGCACCAGACAGGAUGAAACACCAAUUUGUCCAAACGCUGGCCAGGUUACCGGCUUUGACCAUGCAGUCAACCAGAUAUCCAUGAAAUAAGGAACAGGAACCUUUUGGCUAGUUUCUAGUUGAUCAGUUGUUGAUAAUACUGGAACCACCUUGGAAUCUGAGCUAAAAUCUAUCAUCUAAGGAAGGAGCCAUACCUGAGCUAGAAUUCCAUCAUCCGAGGGCAUGUAUGUUUAACUUGCACCUAAGUGCAUGAAAUUAUAAACAGCAAGCUCUGACUGCCCCCAGGUACUACCAUUUUUGUAUGGCGCUUCAUCAUCUGUAAAAGAAAUCCUGCAUAUAGAUCACACCGGCAAAUCUUUCCAAUUUUGGCUUUAUGCUUAGCCUGGAGGUAAGAACAUACUGAUCAGUUUCAUGCUAAACAGAAGCAUGGACGGAUGAACUGGUGAAUAUGAAUUGAUGAUAAUGCUCCACGCUCGAACUAUAAAUAUGCCAUGAAAUGACAUGAGUUUGAGCAUUAUCCUCCAAUGUAGUGGUAUUGAGAGGGUAAGGUGCCAUUUGAAGAUCAAGUUCUAAGGCUGAUGCAAGCAUGGCAAAUUUCCAGCAUAUGGUAUAUAAUAAAUCGAACAAUAUUGCAUCUUUCAACUGCAUAUAUAGAUCAAAUUCAAAGGGUACUAAUUAAUCCAUGUCAAUGACGUCAAUGCACAUCUAAUAACAGAUCACGAUGUCCCUUUCAAGUGCAUAUAGUUAAGGUAAGAAAACACUAGUUAACUAUGCUGAUGAUGCCAAUGCACAUUUAAUAACCGAUCAUGAUGCCCCAAGAGUCUUCAACUCAUGGAAGAUGGUAAUGACACUCAUUAUAACAGGUGCAUUCAGUCAAGGAUGCUGAUGAUGACUUAUGAUGUGAGUGCAACAGCAUAAUUUUCAUGAUGGGAUCCAUUCCUAUUUUGUUAUCUUCAUGAGGGAAGCUUAAGGAGCAAGAUACAUCCCUUCGAGUUACUGCUGGUAGGUAGUAGGAGCUCCGUUGUGCUCAGCUGCAGACCCAUUGACUGAAUCCUUCCUCCGUCCAAAAGGGUUCUUUGAAAAUGUAUGAACAGUCAAGAAAACACAACGUAAUAAUAAAUUCGACAGUCAGGGCUUAUAUAGUUCAACAGUAAAAUUGUUAAAAGCGAUGUAGAAAUGCAUUGGGCCGUAAUCAUACAAAAUGAAUCUUCACAUCUUCUUGAAGGGUAGUCAUCAACGUACUUUUACAGACAAGAAAAGACAUGAGCAUGAAUGCCAACAUCCUAGAAUCAGAAUUUUGAUUCUUAAAAUGUCAAAUGACAAGUCCUAUGAACUUGGGGAAACAAAAGUUAACCAAAAAAGGUGUCCGAUGUAAUAAAGUUACAAAUAUGACAAUUAAGGAUGAGGGACAUAAUGUGGCUGAUACACUUCUAAAUAUUCUAGCAUGUCUUACGAGAAACAUUUUAUGGGUGCAAUUGGUUGGGUUCACCCAACUUGACCAACAGAACGGGCAAAAUUUGGUGGCUUCAUAGGUAAUAAAGCUAACCAUAUAAGACCAAAUGCAAGUGGGCACUGUCUUAAAGAGCAUCUGGGACAACAGCCAAAGCACCCCCCACCUUAGGCAGAGCGGCAAUUAAGGUCCUUGCCUGUGGCUUGGGUGGUCUGUACCAAUAUAGGUGGCUCAAUCUAUGGGUAGAUGCCUAUGCAGCUGCUAUGUUUACAGGUGCCAGAGGUGGACACCUCAGAUGGGUCAAGCACCGCAUAACCUGAUACCUGCCCUGUUGGAAUUUAAAAUUUUACCCUUCCCCACCACAUGCCCCUCUACUUCUUCAAACAGAAGUUAUUGCCAAAUCGGAUAUGAAGCAAUGCCGACGCUGUUCACCUCUAUACCACUUAUACUGUUUCAAACCACUACAAGGGGGUAAUAACAGCAAAGUAAACCUUUUCUUUGAUGUCAAGCCACGUUCGGAAUUACAUUUUAUCCCAUUAUUGACCGUCAAUGGUUAUAACAGCCAUUAUUUUCCUUAAAAAAAUUAUCAAAGUUUUAAUAUUAAAAUAAUCGCUAAAAUAACGGCCAUUAUAAUGGUUUUAUAAUGGAAAUAAUGUAAACAAUAAUGGCAUUAUUUUUCCUUUAUUUUUUAUUAGAUAAAAUAUUAAUAUAUUUUGGACCAUAAAAUAAUUUUUGGAGGGAAUUUUGAGAAAGGAAUAUUUGAAUUUUGAAAAGUAUUAUUUUAGAAGAUACAACCGAAAGAAAUGGCCGUUACUAAUGUUAUAAUGGUCUGUUGUAACAGAAAAUAACAGCCGUUAUCUUUUCCCAUGUUAACGGGGUUGCCCAAACCUGUUAUAAAAUCGUUAUCACAGUUAAAACACCAUUAUAUAAAACCAUGAUGUCAAGUGGAACAAUCAGAGAACAAAAUGAAAUGCAAACUCUUUAUCUAUAGCAAUGUAAAUAUUAAUAACUGAAACUUUUAAUUUGACAUCAAAUGGAAACCAAAUAACAAAAUGAAAUGCAAAAUUUUUUCUAUAGUAAUGUGAAUAUUAAUAAUCAACUCAUAAAUCAGCAAGCCAACUCAGACUCUAAACCAAAGCAAAAUCAGAUAUAAGGUGUUAAAUGCAAGCCCUUCAAGUGAUGCGGAUCUGAUCAGGAUUGAGCAAAUCAAUGAUAUUGUAGGGUCUAAAAUUUAUACAUAGAUAAAAGCAAUGAAAUUAAAUAAGUCAAGAUGUCACACGAAAAUCAGUGAAAGGCGAAAAGUUAUGCUCCAAAAGGUCAUCAUCUCCAAUUGCAGGCCCAAUCCUCAAGCCCAAAUAGAAAAAGAAAGAGCUAGAGACAAAGAAUCGAGAGAGAACGAGAAGCAACAGCCAUUAUUCAUCCUAAUUGCACCCUUCUCUUCUCAAUUCAUAGUUUUCAACAUGAUAAGGCUACUAAAUAGUCCACCAUUUAUUAGGACCUUAGUUACCAGAAGCGCAGGUCUCUUAAAAAAAAUAUAAGAAAACACUUAAAGAAACAGGUAAGGGACAAGUUCCUAAGGAGAUUCGGAAGCAAAUCUUCCACCCUAAAUGGAACAUUCCUGCUACCAAGAUUUGAAAACAACUAGCCUUUCUCCCUAAAAAAGAGAAAGAAUCAAAAUAAGAUUUAAUGACAUUUUCAAGCCUUCCCUACUAGAACAUAUAUGUGACAUUAUAAUAACAGAAGAAUUUGUAUAUUUAAUGAAACUGAUACGGAAAGCCAUUAAAACUGAUUUUAAGCACCAUCUUAAUAGUGUAAAACCUUUCCUACCCAACACCAGAUCUAUAAUAGGAUAUAUAGAAAAUUAUAGAAAAUUAUCCUACUGAAAAUAUCCAAAGGCCCCACAAAAGAUAUAGCCAAAAUGUAGUACGAAAGAAAAAAAGAUGCAAAUAAUAUCAUAAGGCCUAAUCCCUAAUUACCUAUAGAGCCAAAUUGCUCUCUUUGAUACAUAGGAGCUCUUUAAGUGUGCAAAAAUAGGGCAUAUCUAAUAAUUUAUAUUUUACGACCAUCAAAUCGACAAAUUGGAUUAAAAGAUCACCAGGAGGUCUCAAUAUUCACUGAAAAAGGAUAUUGUAUUCGCAUGCCACCGCGACCAGAGCUAGGAAGAACAGCACCCUGCAGAUUCUGGUGAACAGUUGUAGCACCAUUCACAUCCUGCACAGAUAGUUCAAUUUUUAAAUAAAUUAAAUACAAAACCAUAAUCAUGCUCAAAGCAAUAUACUUGAUUAAAAUGUGAGAUCAAAAGAAUGCAAUUUUUAAUACUACUCACAUCAAACUCAAUGAAGCAAACAGUAUUUCUCUCCUGACGCAAGAUCUUCAUUUGUUUGUAACCAGGUUGCCUGCAUGAAAUAAAGCAGAGUAAGCAAAAAAAAAUCUAAAAAGAACGAUUUUGUGAGUAAGCAAUGCCCAAUAAGGGAAUUAAACUUAAUAUAUAUGGAAAAGAUAUCAUUCUCACUCUUAACGAUAAACAGCCAUCAUUUUUGUGUGUGUGUGUGCAAUGUCAAGGUCAAGAUUCAUACACACUAAAAAUGCCCCUAAGUUCUUCCUCAUUUACGUUCUCGCCCAGAUUGCCAAUAAAAAGUGUAUUGCAUGGAGGAUUGUCUUUUGUAUUCUGCAAAACAAAGACAAAACAGUAACAGUAGUGUAAAUGUGAUGAUUGAAGCAUUAUCUAGUGAUAAGCUUGCCAAGUGAAAAUAAAAAGAGACCAAAAUAAAAUGCAACUUUAGUAAUAACGACAUAUGGCUGUGUUUGGUUGUGAAAUCAGUUAACCUGGAUGCAUGGGUUAAUUUGCUCUCUCUUUGGUGAAAAAAGUAGCUCUGCCAACUUUUCAAAAUACCGACUUUACCCUCAGAAUUAAUUGGUUACUAGCAUUUGCCAGGUUAAAGUAGAAUAAGUGGAGUAAACGGGACCUUUUCCAUUUAGUCCUCCUUCAACCCAUAGCCAAACACAACCUAAGUUAUUAAGAGAUGCUCUAUCGAGCUCCAAAUUAAGAAUUAAUAUUAUGAGGCUUUAAUAACUAUGAAAGCAUAAGUGAUUCCUAUCAGUGAACAUGAAGAACUAAUGUACUGUUAAAUGCAUUGGUAUGCUAUUUAUGUAUUGACUUUACAUCACACAGGUUCUGUACUCACAUCACAUUUUAAAUGUUAUUCACAGCAACUGCUUUAACAAGUCCUUGUUCUAUGCACAUUUAUUAAUACAUUGGCAUGCCUAAUAUAGGCUUAAUAGAUUAACCAAACUCAUAAAACUCCUAAACUCCAUAUGUUGUUCCUAUAAUAAAGGAUUCAAAAGUAUCAAUUAUUUUUUACUAUAUAAUGCUUGAUUUCUAUGAAAGAUCAAAAUUUACACUCCAUAUGUUGUUCCUAUAUUAAAGGACUCGAAAGUAUCAAUUAUUUUUUUACUAUAUAAGGCUUGAUUUCUAUGAAAGAUCAAAAUUUAUAUGUUUGCCUUUUAUGUCCCAUAUGAUGUUCCAGAAAAUUUGAACCAUUAGCAUGAUGGGUCAAAUAACUAUCACCCCUAUACUUAAAUCCCAUAGUUUGCCCCUGCAUUAUCCUAUGUCUUCAUAUAUAACUAUUACACAAACCACAAAGACCCACGCUAUGAUCACACAAACACAGAUAGAAAGUUUUCAAAUCUUUUGGACAACGUCAAUGCUUAAGACCUCAUCUGGGUUCCCGUUGUCCUUGCCAUACUUUCCAUGUACCGUGAUGAUCAGUUGGCAAUAAAUACCUCCUCCUGUUGAGCAGGGCUUCAGAUUCGUUAGGAAACAGAUGGCUAGCAAAUUUUUCGUUGGAAAAGGCCUUGAAAUAUUUCCAGCAUUUCUGUGAUCAGUUCCAUCGUCUAUCAAGGCCUGGUAAAUCAUCCCCAUAGUCAUAAUUUUCCUAUUUCCACAACAACUACCUCAGGACUCAAUACCUUCCAGCAAGUACAUACUUUAAAACUUCUACACUUAUACCAAUUUAACGCAGCACGAGAGACUAUUAGUAUAAAAGAUGGAAAAUAACUGAAAGUAAUGAAAAUAGAUUAUGGACUUGAUGUAUAUCAGCAUAAAAAUACAAACAAGAUGCAUCAUGUAUGUGCAGGGUCAGCUACACAGAUCCUACUUCACUGAUAAAGAUAGUCUAUACAAAUAAUUAAUGAAUGCCCCUGUCCAAUUUUUACCAAUCACGUCAUCUUCUUUUUCAAUCUUUCAACAAACAUGCAAAAAUUACUGUUUAUAGUGGUCAUCCUUUGCUCAUAGUGCACAUCUAAGUCAUGUCAAAAGUCCACACUUGUUUUAUCUUUCUGCCAUUGAUACUCUAAAACUUCAUCUAGUAAACUCAUAUAUGGCUGUAUUCUUCUAGUUUUGCCCUUAGUAGCUGGAACCUUCUCUCCAGGGUAAAUGCACUUACUUCAAAAUAUUCUAGGUUCUCGAAUUCAUAUCCGCUUCUUUGCUAAAAGUGUUUCUAAAAUAUCCUCUUCCCGUACCCACUCCGCACACGCGCUUGAUUUUGGCAACUAAGAUUUUACCAUAUGUUUCCAUCUUUGUUGCCAUAACCUUAUGCUGAUUGGCAUCCUCCUAGCCAAUGUUUUGUUCAUCACAAGAAAAAUGGUUAAACUUUUGUAUUGUAAGCUUUUCCCUUAAGGUCUGAAAGGUAGCAUAUAGUGCAUAUCACAACAAAAAAAAGCAUAUUCAAUGCAUCCACUUUGAUUUGAGCUUCUUGGAAAAUCAUUUAUAUUCUUCAUUUUUCAAGGAUAAAUAUAAUGUUGCAUGAUCGAUUGAUGGGGAAAUUGUCCGUUCCUUGAUCCUAUUGCAUUAGAUAGGUAUCUUAAUGAUUGCAGGAAAGCCAUUGGUAAGAAGAACCAUGUGCCUAACUUUUAAGAAUCUCUUGCAUAUGUUCAUAUUGCUUCAAUUUUGGUUUUCAAUUAAAACUUGACCACUAUUCAUUGAUUGGUUAGAAAUAGUUGUUUAGCUCAAAAUCAAGCAACUUGGCUUGAUUGGAUCUUGAACAUUUUAAGGGUUUAGAUAUGUUUUUAACUUUAUCUCCUAAUUUAUAGCUCUUUGAUGAUAUCUUCUAGAUUGUCUUUGUCAAAAGUAACAUCAACAAGCAUUGUAUUUAAGCCACAAGAGCAUAAGGACUCCCAAAUGGAUGUAAGCAAACUAGUGUUAAAAGCUGAUCACUAAUUGUUGAACCUGUUCAAAGCCUGCAACCACCAAAAAAAGGCAGUAUUUCUAUAAAAUAUGUGUCCUCAUUGUUGCUCCUGCAUGUCUCUCUAAGGCCCUGUUUGAGGGAGCUUUUGAAGGGCCAAAAGACACUUUCUGGCUCUCCAAAAGCACUUUCAGAUAAAAUAGAGAUGUUUGAUAAAAAUUUCGAAAAGUUGUUUUAGCUUUAGCUUUUUUGGGAGAAGCUCCAUGUUGGAGUUUUCCGGAAAAACACUUUUAGGUUCGAUUGGAGAGCUAUUUUUUACCCAAAAUACCCGUAAUAAAAUAUAACAAUUAAACAAAAUGCCCCUUUAAUAAUUGUUUAACCAAUUUUAUCACAUAGCUAGAAAUUUUAUUACAUUAUGAAAAAUUAAUUUACACUAAUAAUUAUAAUAUUUUAUAUCUUUAUUAUUAUAUUAUACUAUAAAUAUAAUAUUAUAUUACAUUAUAUCAUAAUACAUUGAAAUGUUAUGUUAAAUAAUUUAAUAUUAUAUUAAAUUAUUAUGCUAUAGGAUACAAUAUUAUAUUACUAUAUUAUAAUAAUAUUAUAUUACAUUACAGUAAUAUUAUCCUAUAUCAUAUAUAUAUAUAUAUAUAUAUAUAUAUAUGUAUUAAUACAUAUUAUUUUUUUUAUGCUCUAUUGUAUAAUAUUAUGCAAUGUCUUUUAUAGUUAUUUUGUCAUAAAAAAGUGCUUUGUUAUUUUGUUUACCAAACACAUGUUAAAAUGGCACAACACUUUAAAAAUGCAGUUAUCAAAUAGCAAACAGCUUUUUAUAAAAGCUCUACUUCCAAAAGUUCUACUGCCAACAGCUCCUCCAAACGGGGGCCUAAGCAUAGAACUUUUUUCUGAGAAAUAGAGUGGGGAUGCCACCACCAAAGUUUAAACCAUGGACAUCUGGUUUUGUCAAGAAAAAUGUCAACCAGCUAAACUACGGCCACUUGGAAUCAAACAUCAUCUUGAAAACUCAUAGCCUAUUAUAAAUGCCUUCCAUAUCAAUAAAAUUAUUUCUACUUCCUCCUCACCAAAUAUUUCUGCAAUUGAGAAGCAAAUGUAGCUAUCUAAUUGAACUUCCUAGUAUAAGGCCAAAGUUGUCUUUAAAAAUCCAUAUUGCUCUAGGACUUUACAUCUUAUUUUUUCCAACAAUAUCAUUGAACUUUGCUUUACAGAUGACUUUAAGGCCUACCUGGUUGGCCCCGAAAGUGACUCCCGGAACUUUCUGAAAACCGACUCCAGGGAGUUGGUGAGUUUGGAAAUGAAAGUGGCCGCUAGGAAGCUACUACCCAGCCUACUCCUGGCCUUUUAAACUAGAUUCAUGACUUCGGACCCCUCCACCUCUUAAACAUGGGCACAAGCGUCCACCUCCCAACCUCACUCUCCCCUGGGGCAAUUCGAUCACCUCCAAGCAAGCCCUCACGACCCCCUCUCUCCCAGCCCCCAAAUGGUGGUCAAAUGGUGGUCUCUCCAACAUUUCUAUCCUUUCUCGUGGUGAUGUUUCCAUGGUCACUAAUUCAUUGGAUCGAGCAUUGGGAGUCAAGGCAUGGUUACUUCAUUCUUAGAUCUCAGGCGGUUUUCUCUAGUUACUCUUUUUCCAUUGAUUUCUUUUAUUUUUGGUCGAUUUCGUUGCAUUCUUUUACUUUUUGUUAUGAUUGUUAAUAUAGGGUUUGCGAUCUUGGAAUCAUAGAUUAUAAUCAGAUCUGCUAGUUUUGAAAUGAUCAUUUUUAUUAUUUUUUGAAAUUUUUUGACUUUUCGAGAAACUUGUUAAGUAGAUCCAUUGUGUUGUGAGGUAAACAGGUUGUUUCUUGGGUGCUGAGGGUUUAGCAUUCCAGCAAUUUUAGAUCUUUUCUUUAGCAAAAGAAAUCGAAGUCAUUCAGUGAAGAGAUUUAUGGUUGAGCAUUGGCUCUAUGAUUUGCCCUUUUUUGAAAGAAACUUUCAUUGGUUUUAUUUUGUCUAAUCAAAAGGACUGUGUGCUUGCUCUUCUUGGUUGCAAUUUACAUUUUGUUGGAUAUUUUCGUCUUGAUUUUGUGAUUGCUUUCUGUGGGGAGGGAGUUCUCCAGCUAGGUUAGCAAUGAAUUUGGCUAGCCAAGGUUCAUGGAGAGGUUUGAAGAGAGGGCAGAAUAUGGGUUAGUGCAAUGGGAGGGUCUUGGAAUGUCUUGCAAAUAUCAUGGAAUAGUUUUCCAUGAAGCAUGUUGUAGCGUUAUUACUAUCUUGACACUUUACAGGUCAGAAAAUCUUUUUUUCUUUGGUCCAUGCAUGUCUACCACUUUCUUGGAUUAUGUGAAGAGAGGCCAUUAUAAGCUGCUUUCUUACAAAUUGUGAAUGGCAAAAUUAGAAUGAAGCACAUAGGUCCUACAUUUUCUUGCAAAAAAGUAACUUUUCGCCAUGAGAAUUAAGUAUAAUCAGCUAUAGUUUAUUAGAGGUUGACUAUGAAAAAGAUAAGGUUGCUUUUUGCAUGAUGUUAAUGAGCUUUGACAUGAUAUGGCAAACUAAGAAAUGAAAACCUAAGGAAAUGAAUUUGAUGUAUACAUCCACAUUGUAUAGCAAAAUUUUCCCCUAGCAAUAACUUAGUCUUUUUUUUACAAAACUAAUUUUUUCCAUCGAUGAUGGAUUUUAUAUCUUGCCUUGGGGUCACUAUUUGGCUAUUAUAGUUGAUCACAGGUUCAUUGUAUGAUUGCUAUCAUGAUUUUUUUUGUGAUGGAUUACAUCAUUUGGAUAUGGUUCAGUUUUUCUAUUUGCUCACAAGUUACUAUGACAGUUGUGACAUGAUCUUCAAUGCCUUAUUCGCAAGUUUGUCAAUCACCCCUACGUGGUUGCAACUUGGAGGGCCACAUAUACGGCAACUAUUGCAGCUAUCUAUCUUGAUGAUAUCAUUUUUUCACAAGAACCCUACAAGUUUGCUAUAUAUCUUGAUUUAAUCAUGCUUGUUCACAGGUUCCUUGCGAGAUUGAUGCACAUCUUGACUUUAUCAUGCCUGUUCACAGGUUCCUUGUAAUGUUUCUAUGUUAAUUUUAUAUGUGAUGGAUUAUAUGGUUUGGAUCUGGUUCGAUUUUGCCAUUUCAUAGGUUACUAAGAUGUCCGUUUUUAAUGAUGUCCAAUGUCUUCUUCUUUGUCGACCACCCCUACACGGUCGCCACUUGGAUGGCCACAUAUAUGGCAACUGUUGCAAUCACCAUCUAUGGGGUAAUGAUGCGCAGAGUGGCUUGGAGACAAUUGCUAGGAGGAAUCUAGAUGCCAUAUGUGGCAACCAUUGCAAUCAUCAUCUAUGGGACAAUGAUGCAUAGAGUGGCUUCGAGAUAAUUAAUAGGAGGAAGUCGGAUUUUUUGCCAUCAAUAUUGAUGAUGAGAAGCACUCAUAGUCUGAGACCAUCCAAUCCACAUGAUCCCCCAUAUCUUACCACUUGUUUUUUAUUUCACAUAUCUUACUUCUUGUCUUUUAUUUUUACUUAUUUUUUGGUUUGCACAAGAGAUGAGAGACCAAGGACUAUGGUUGCUGCACUACGAAGCAAUAAACAAUAUACUUGAUAUGUUUUCUCAAUCAUUUUUACUAUUAUGUAUGGAUUUUUGGCGUCUAAAUUUGUGAAAUAGCCAUGUACUGAGCAAGGGAUUUUGGAGGUUUAGUCUGGAUGCACCACCCCCUCCCACUUUUUCCCAUGUAACAUGGACUGCUAAAAGUUUGCUCAUGACUCCAUGGAUGAAAACCUAGGAAAAGUACAAAAUAUAUAAAAAUAAUUAUUAAUAAAGUAAUUUUUUAUUCAAUAAUUGAUAUUAAAUUUGGUAAGAAAAAUAGUUUAGGUUAUUAUUGAAGAUGACUAGUAGUUUGGAUAUUGAAAACCAAUAUAAGCCAUUAGUUAAAAGGUAAAAAUUGAAUUAAUAAUAAAAUAAAAUUAUUUUAUUAAGAAACAUAUGAUUAUUUCUACAAAAUCUUCAAAUAUUAUAUGUUCCCGUUAUAUAAGCUAAGUAAUAUUAUUUAAUAUUGACAGAAUAAAAAUAAUAUGACAAUAAUAAUUAAUUUGUUCAACACAUGCCCAUACUUAUAUACAUUAAGUAACAUAUAAUAUCACUCAAGUAUUAUGAAAAUAAUUGAUAAUAUAAUAAUAAUGUUUUAGUCUAUCAAUAUGUGCUCUAUAACAUAUAUUUUAUUCAUUUUAUCAAUAAAAAGGAUAUAUUUCCUAAAAGGACAUUUUACCACCCACUUCUUGGGUGAUGAUAUCUCCCCACUUUCAGACCAACCAAACAUCCAAAGUGAUUUGACGCAACUUACUAUACCGCACAUAUAAAACGAUUUCACCACCAACAAUCCUUACUUUCCUAACAAACCAUACAGCAAACGCACUCACUUUCAGAAAGAGCACUUUCCAAAAACGUCACUUUCAGAAGUGCCUCAAAGUCUCCUCCAAUCCACUUGUGCAACCAAACAGGCCCUUAGCCAAAAUGUUACAUUGUAGACUACUCCAAUGUAAGCAAACUAUAAAUAUGACAAAUAACUCAAUCACCUAUAUCCAGCAAUCUAGAACUUCCAGAAUGGCCAUCAACAACCCAAUACUUCAUAAUCCUAAAUCAAACGGUUGGAUCAUCAAUUGAUUGUGAUGACUAUACAGUAUGUCCAUCUAUGUUUAGUCUUUCAUAUGGUUUAAGUAACAUAGUUGGUCUCAAUAUUAUUCUUCGAUAAUACCAUAGUUGGUCUCCAUUUUAUUCUUCAAUAAUACCAUAUUUCCGCCCAUGCAUUUUGCAUGUUUAACAUUGGAUUGCUAGAUUAUCUAUUUGUCUCAUGUUAUUUUCCAGUCUUUCCUAUACAAACUUUUAUAGGAAGAAGACUAUUUCCUGCAUCAAGUUAAGUUCAUCACUUCAUGUGGUUCUCUAGCUUGUUAAAAACCACAAAGUUGCCGUCUAUGUAGGAUUUGUUCCAAAUUUGGUGGGUGUGAAUAUUUUUUUUCACAAAAACAUGGUGUAGUUUAACUUCAGAUGUUUUCAGGACCAAGAUCAGAAUCCAUAACUCUUUAACAAAAGAAGCACUAAGAAUCUAAAUAACAUAUUAAACAUGAAUAUAUACUGUGCAGUGUCACAAAAUGCUAUAAGAUAUGUCUGAACAUCAAAGGAGUUUAUUCAUUGAAUAAUAUUCUAGUAUCACUGAGAAUGUGAGGUUAACUGUCAGCGACCAAACAAAGUAAGUUCCAUGAUUUGGGUUAUUUCUUUGUCAUUAUCAAUGAUAUGGAUUUAACAGAAGCAAGGUAUAAAACAACAACAAAGAUGUCUAACCUUACAAUCAGGGAGUGAACUGACAUGGGCAACGCAACUAGGGAGUAAACCAAAGCCUAAGGUUUUGAGACUUUGUUUUGAAUUUUCAAUUCAAUGGCAAAACAAAAUGUUUCCACAAUAAAAAAGUAUCAGGUUAUUUACUGUGGGAUGGCAAUCAUGGUCUUUAGGUCAUUCAGUAUUUGCAACGAAAAGUUCACUGUCCACAUAAGACAGUUAAAUAGCAAGGUUACACAAAUAAGGGAAGACAACAAUAAAAAUUACAUUGGACAACUUAAAAGAAUGUUGUGGAAUGAAAUCCAAGCUCUGAGCUAAAAAAUGCAUGUAGCCAAACAAUGUAUUUGCACAAAAAAUGCAAACAUUGAUUCACCACUAUAAAGGAAUUUUGAGAAUAAAUGUUUAACAUAACAAGAAUGACUAAUGCAAUCCUUUCAAUAUAUUAACAAGUUGGAAAAAGAAAAGGACAAGCUUUUAAUAAUAACAAUUAAAUAUUAGAAAAUGGCACUUUGUAUGUGGCGAUUACCUGAACAGGAGCAUAACCACUAGGUGCUGGCACAGGAGCAGGAGUAGGCAUGGACACUUGAGGUACUGGAUAACCUCCAUAUGGGUCAUAUGGAGCAGGUGGAGCCAUAUAUCUAAAUUUCAAGGCACCCCGAACCCAGCACCCCCCCCCCACCAAAAAAAGAAAAAAAAAUCAAAUAAAGGAAGAUACAAAUUGGUGCAAUAUGAUCCACAAGUUUUAUUAUUUACCCUGGGGUCCCCCAAACUGGAGGUGGUGGUGGAGUGUGAAAAGGUGGAGCAGGAUAGCCUGCAUGAGUAUAGUCCCCACCAGUUCGCAGGCGUUUACUCUGGUCAAUGGAGUUUGAGUCAGCCACCACACCUAAAAAUUAGAGAAUGUUAGGGCAUAACAUGUUACACAACUCAACAAAAAAGGACAAAAAAACAGAUGAAAGGUAUCACUAUACUAAAUUUGUAUGUUCACAAGCAAGCAUAUAUAGACUAGCAUAUAUAAAAAUUAAAAUUUUCUGAUGAUGUUACAGCUUGCUAUCUGUAAAAUAAAAAGACUUUCACCAUCAUAACCAAGAGAAAAUAUGCCAUCCAAUUGGAAGACACAUCCAGAAACCAUAUGAUACUAAAUGAAAACACUAGAUAAUAAAAAUAAGUACAAAUAGUUGACUGCUUGACAUAAAAGAUCAUCGUGAAUUUGGCUAAGCCUGCUCAUCAGGUAUGUAGACAAAUACGCUCAUGAGUUUACCCAGGCACACAGACAGCAACACAUUGGUGUUAUGCUUCUGCACACUGAUCUGUUCACUUGUGACAUCAAAAAUGGAAGUAUAAGAUGACCGGAUGAAGCAUGCAAGAAUCUACCUAACUCUAACCAAAUUGCAAAUAUAAUCAUGACACAACCAUGAGCAUUGUUUUAAUUAUUUAAGAUCGCCCAACAAAUCAUUUUUCAUCAUUAAUAUCUAAAUUAAUACAACAUCCUUUACUACUAUCAACUCUGCCAAAUCCUUUUACACAACUCCAUCUACAUCAGGUCUUCCAUACUCCUUCCCUGCUCCCCCAUAAAAGUCCAAACCACCAUCCAAAUACUGACCUUCUUAUAACUUUUAUCACUUAAGCUCAUACCAUUUGAUUCAAUUCCCCACCACAAUGUGCAACUCCUAUGCUUCUUCUAUGGCUUCUAGGUGCACUAAAUAUGCAUUCCAUUUAUUUUGUUCUGUUCUAUCUAACUUUUGUAUCCUUAUAAAUAUGAUACCCCCCCCAAAAAAAAAACUAUGAACUCAGCAUUGUACGUACAAAAAUUUAUAAAACACAGCAAAUGCUAGAUAAAGAGAGUGUGCCAGCUAUUUCUUGUUAUAUCUACAAUCUGUCAUAUGUAAAUCCUUUAAUAAAAUGUUGCAGUUUACAUGAUUGUAUGCACCUUCAAAUCAGUCAUAGAACCAUAUGCACAAUCAUGUUCAUGUGUAUGGAAGCAUACGAACCAAGACUAAAUGAAAUCGUCUGAUGAAGAACAAUGAUGUAGUGUAAUCAACCAAGCAUGCAAAGAAUUUCUCAUAAUAUGAGGGAACACCAUAAUUCUGAUUUGUAUUACUAGUCAUGGCUACCAUUGGAAAAACUCGUCAAUCAUUGUCUGCUUCACCUUUUUCUAUUAUUGGCGUAAGAGAGCAAAACAUAGCCAGCAAUGGCCUCAUUAAGAUAUACAAGUAUAAUCCAUCAAAGUUAUAAACAUCUAAUGAUGCAAAGAUAUGACGUUAAUAGACCAUCAGUAGGUGCCUGUCAGAAUCAUCUUCAAAAACACUCCUUUACUGACCAGGAUAAUGUUUCAGAACCACCAGAAUUUUAUCCCCUUUUACCAUAUAAUCAUUACUCGCAUGGCCAAUUUUCUUCUCGAAGUGCAACUCAUCUCAGCUGUACAAGAGCAUCCACAGAAUUACAUAAUGUCAACGAAUCUACCUUCAAAGUUGCAUGGUACAAGUUCACACUCUUUUGUUUUUACCAACCAAUUAUCCACAUAACAACAUUGCCCUUUGAAUUCUUUUCUUUAUAGAUAGCAUAUUGGUCACCAUUCCACUACACCUUUCCUUGUUUAAAGGUACCAAUUUGAUUUUAGAACACAGAAGUUAGUUUCCGAUAAGCAGCUCCUUAAUAAUCCAGUAAGGAACUGGUGCAGCCACAUUAGAUAAAUUAGCAGCUUAGUAGGCACUGUUAAAAUCAAAAAAAAGUUAAAUCAAAUUGGUUUACUUGAUCUCUCCCUCCCUUAUUUAAUAGCAAACUCAUGAUCAGAAUAAUAAACCCUAGGAAACAGCGUCACGCACCUCUCUUGACAAAAAGAUUCUUCUUCGCCAUCUCUGUGUGCAAGACAGACUUUGUCUCAGCAUCAAACACCAAGUCCUGAAGACCAGAGCCAGCAUUAGAUCUGUCAAACAGAUCAAGGUCCAGAGAUCCAAGACAGGAGAGAAACAUAAACGAUAAAGAAAGAGGGGCGAUCACCUGAAGCGCAUUCUUGGCUGCUAUGGCGUGCUGAGGAGUGGAGAAGAGGGCAAACCCCAUAGGCUGCUCCGCUUUGAAGUUGAUCUGAGACGCGUCGAACCCCGGCAACCACCUCAAGAGGUUAUGGAGCUCCCUCUCUUUCACGUCCGCCGGAAGACCCGAUAUAAAGAUCGUCCGAACCUUCGAGAGGAAAGUAAACCAAGAAAACAUCGGUGAUUUAUAGUGCUAGCGUUAGCGCCGAAAAGGAGAGGGGCAAGAGAGGGGAGGCGGUACCUCGUCGGCAGCGGUGCGAUUAGGGUUUUCGACGGGGAUAGGAGGGGCAGCCGGCGGCGGCGGCUGUGGUGGCGGCACCCACUGCUGGUGGUAGGGAUGCAUGCCAGCGCCGGCCAUGGCGACGGAACCCUAACCCUAUAGCUUGUCUCGUGUCGCAAGAGCUCCGAGGAGAACCUCCGCUAAGCCUUUCGCUUCUGGUAUGCCAGGAGUGGUGGGAGCCCCCACCCUUCGUACUUUCUCGUAAUUUAAUACCCGAAGCGUGAAUGCGGAGCGGUCAGCGGCUCCGCGGAUCAUGUCAAGCUAAACUGACCGCAUUUUUCCUUUUCUUGAUUGGCACGAAAGAAAAGGUUAUUACUGACAUAAAUUGCAAUAAAACGUUUUCCGGACGCCUAUUUAAAAAAAAAAAAUUAUAGACCUUCGAAGUCCAUCCAUUUAUACCUAGAUCCUAAAAUUUAAAAAAAUAUAAUUAACAAUCAAACUUCAAAUUUGUUGCAGUAUGAUCUAAUCGUCCAUUUAAAUCCUAACAUAGUUGACAAAGUGAGAAAAAAAAGACAAAAAUAUCUUUAAUUUAAAGAAAUUAUUCUUUGUCAUCCAGCCACCUGCACAUAUGUCAAAGCGCUCUAUCCUCUAUAAUCCAUCCAUCCUGUGUAGAUCUUAAAGCACUCCAUCUUUUAUCAUCCAUCUAUUUAUACAAAUCUCUAAGCACUCUAUUCUCUAUCAUUCAUCCACUAGCAUAGAUCAUAAAGCACUCAACCUUUUUGUCAUUCAUUUGCCCAAGUGCUUCAUCUCAAUCAUCCAUCCACAUCUACAGAUUUCAAAGAGCUCCAUUCUUUGUAUCCACCCGUCCACAUAUAUCUCAAACUGCUCCACUUGUAAUCCAUUUGCCUGCACAGAUCUUAAAACGCUUCGUCUCUACUCCAUUGACCUACAUAGAUCUCAAAGUGCUCCAUUUUCUAUCAUCUAUUUCCAUUCAAACUCAAAGCGCUCCAUCCUUUAUCAUCUCCACUUGCACGGGUCCUGAAAGCACCCUAUCAUCUUUAUUAAUCCAUCUAGACAAAUUUUAAAGUAUUUCAUCCUCUAUCAUCUAUGCAAUGCACAAAUCUCAAAGCACUUCAUCCUUUAUCAUUCAUCAAUUUACACAAAUGUCAAAGCACUUUGUCCUCUAUCAUUCAUCUACCCGCACAGAUUUUGAAGCACUUUGUCCUCUAUCAUUCAUCUAUCCGCACAGAUUUUGAAGCACUACAUCUUCUAUCAUUCAUUCGCCUACAUGGAUUUUGAAGCGCUUCAUGAUUUGUCAUCCAUCUUCCUGCACAAAUCUCAAAGUAGCCCAUCCAUCCGUCUGAACAGAUCUCAAAGUAUUUCAUCCUUUAUCAUCCAUCUGCAUGAAUGGAUCUCAAAGUGCUUCAUAUACUAUCAUCCUUCUAUUUGCAUAGAUCUCAAAGCACUCCAUUCUUUAUCAUUUAUUUUAUUGCAUGGAUCUUAAAGCACUCAAUCUUUAUUGUCCAUGCACCUGCAUAAAUCUCAAAACACUUUAUCCUUUGUCAUUCAUCCGCUAACAUAUGUCUCAAAGCAUUACUCUUCCUCAUAUUCCCUUCAAUUCCCACCAAAGCAAAAGUCCCUUGCUAAGUUAAGAAGAAGGAUAAUUCUGAAAUUUUAUAAAAAAUCAGUUAAUGUGUGAUCCUCAUCUAAUAAUAAUCCGUAAUGGAGAUAGACGGUCAGGCUACGUUGCAACAAAAAGUUUUAGCGGCUAACUGAUACUUUCUAGCCUUUUGGGAUUUAAGUGUAAAUAAUCCAAACUUCAAGAAAUGUUCGUAUUGUUUUCUUAGAAAAAAAAGGCAUAAUAAAAAAUUUAUUUCCUUUGAAGAAAGUUAACCAAAGAGCCAAUCUUGUCAAAUUAGCUAAGUCCAAUGACAAACACUUAUCAUAUUGCUAAUUUGAACUAACUGUUUAUGCAAGAUUUUUCUUGAGAAAAAAAAGUUACAUGCAAGGUUUCAAAACCAAUCAUUCGAAUUAGGGUGAGGUGGCUCAAUUUUUAUUAGUAAAAGAACACUUGUAAGUUAUAUAAAACAUUUAAACCUACACAAAUAUGCUAUAAUAAAUGAUUCAAAUGCAGUGGAUUUUGCCUUUUUUUUUCCCUCAUAGCCGCCUAUCGCUCUACUUUUAUAUAAUUAGCUAGUUAUUCUUUUUGAAAUCCUCGCAUAUGGUGAGCUCAUGCAUGCAUGUUUCGGAAAUAACAAAGUUGAAUGCUCGGUAGACCAUUACGGAUGGCCACCACGACAAAAAAAUAAAUAAGAGACGAGAAGCUUAGAUUUCACUUAAUGCCCUCUUUUGAUAUAUCUAACCAGAUCUUGCUGUAUGUAGAGAAGCUAGUGAUAAAGGGCUUUCCAUCUCUACUUCAAACAUGGAGUGCAGCCUAAAAUCUUUCCUUAUCGAUCAUCCUCUUCCUUUUGCUUGCAAUGAACUAGAGUGAUGAUAAAAUGUAUUUGAUUAAGGUUUUAUAAGGAAGAAGGAAAUAAAAGUUGCAUAGGCUAGGUGAUCAUAAAUAUUCAUGAAGAUAAUUUAAUGAUAGUACGAUAUUUAGCAGGAUUUAGUGAUUAAAAUUAUCUAUUUUUCUUUUGUAAACAUGACGAAAUAUGACUUUCAUGAAGAAAAAAAACAAUUUAUCUUUUCCUAUCAUCCUCAAACCUAGACAAUACCUUUUCUCUUGACAUUGGCAAAUGGGUUUUAUAUUUCAACAAUCGUUUGCCAAUGGAAUUCCUCCAAAGACCCUCCAUUGGUUUGUCUAAAAUCCUUUUAUUCUAAUAUUGAGAAGCUAAGCUGGAGUGUGAAUUUGUACUUCAUUUUUCACGAACCAGUAAGCGGGCUUUUUGUUAUAUAAAUGCAUUAUUUCAAUUACUCCCAAUAGUUUAAAGAUUACGACAGGGUGGAUAUACAUCUACUAAAAAACUCUGUAUGUUGAUUUAAGAAAAAUCUAAUGCAAGAGCAUUUUCCAAUACAAUAUUCAACUGUCAUGUUACUUUUCAAAAUUAACAUUUAAAUCUUUGCUCGAUCUAGAGUUUAAUUAUCCUAUUACCUCUGUAAUGCAUGCAAUAUAUUAGUCUCUUAUAAAGCAUAAAAACAUGAGAAUGCCAUUGCUCUGUAAAGAUAACAACCCAAGAGAUGAAGUAAUCAAAUAGCCAAUUGCCUUUAGUGAUUAGCCCUUGCAAUGAUGGAAUCUCUCUCUCCAUCUCUUUCUAUGGAAAGAAGUUGGAAGAAAAAAAAGAGAUAAAAGGAGUAUGACUUAUUAAUUACAUAUAUUCAAUUUAUCUCAACAUGGUAUUAUUUUCUACGGAUUAAUCUUGAAUUAUUGGUUAUUUAAAUGUUGACCAUGAGGUUGAAAAAGUUUGUUAGCUGAUUUUGUUUUUCGCACAACUCUAAGCUCGGUCGGAGAGCAAGCCUUGAGUUUUAAUUUGAUUUAAGGUUUGUAUCUAAGUAACUGGAAGUUAUAUUGGACAUGAAGUAUUGCACUCAUAUACAAUACGGAACUUAUAAAUCCUCAAGAUAGGAUAUGAAACUUAUGAAUCCUUAAAAAUAAAAUUACCCUACACACAACUUUUCGCUUGACAUCGGCUGCUGAUAGGACUAGUUGCCUUAUCAUUUACUAGCAAUAUAGUUUAAAUAAUUUCCCCCAAAAUUCAGUUGUUUAAAGAUUGGUGAUACUAGGAGAACAAAUAUUAUGGAUCACUGACUGGAGGAAUAACUAAUAAUUCAAUAACAAUUUAAUUAUGAUCAUUAAUUUAUAUUAAUAAUCAUUACUGAGGCAUAUUUCUUACAAAUAACUAGAUCCAAGAAAAUAGAUCACUAAGGCAAUUGCCUUAUCCUCCUAAUAGACUUGAAAUCUCAAGCAUGCAUAUUAGGCAUUAUUUAUGGGUUUGAUAUAUCGCAACACCAGUCUAACCAUGAUCCAUCGUGCUAGUCCAUACUGUCUGAUAGGGGUGUAUCAUAACGUACCGAAUGAAAAUCGAUAUAAAACUGAAGUUUGGGUUGAUAUGGACGUUAGACCCUAUACCACCGUAUAUUGAAGUAUAUCGAGAUGUGUAUCAAGUCGUACCGAUACAUGCUGAGAUUAAAAAAAGACGAGAAAAAUGAUUAGAGGAAUGUUUCGAUAUGCGGUGGAUAUCGUACUGCACCAAACUAGUAAGAUGCCGAUCUUGUAUCUAGUGAAGAGAUUGUGGAUUUGAGUAUAACCAUUUAUAGUUUAGAUAAAUGCAGUUCUUAGUUUAGUUGUAAGACAAAUAAAUAAAAAAAAGGACUGAAGUUUUUAAAAUUAUAAACAUAAUUCUGAAACCACACAACACAAAGAAUUGUAUAAGAUAUUUAAUUAAAUUGGAUCUUGCAAUUAUUUUUGCUCCCUCAUGGAGAUCACACUGGAUUGGGUUAUGCAAUUAUCCUUUGCUACCUAUUAUACAUAUUGUAAAACCAAACUCUAGUAAUCUUCCAACAUAAAAAUAACCCUACAAGGCCACAAUCUAAAAUAAGGUGCUUGUUCUAUAGAACCCAAUGAACCUCCACCAUUAACAUGAACCUCAAGUCAAUUCUUAACCUUUAAGGAAACCUUCAUGUUCGAAUAAAACCAUAUGUAACGUCCAAGCAAACUAAAUAGUUUAUGUAAAAUCUAAUUUUGCUAUUAAAGCCAAACACUGUGCCUUGCGAAGGGCAUAAAAAUUAGCCACUCAUGACUGAUGUUACAUAUAAGUCCUUACCAAGGAUUGAAUUAUGUAUCGAGUCUACAGUCAAACUCUCAGAAAUAUAAUACACGACAGGUGUUUUUACGCAAAAAGCCAUUCCAUCGAUCACUCGAGCCGCUGAGCCAGCUCUCUCCGAUAAACCCUUCCGAGUCCUAUCCCUCCGACACCUUAGGGUUUUAUCAGUGUUCCUGUCGGUCUUCCGCCACAGCUAAGAGAGAAGGGAAAGAGCUCGCGGAAUCCGAAGGAGAGGCAGCCAUGGCUUCCACCAAAGUCCAGAGGAUCAUGACCCAACCUAUCGUACGCUCUUCUCCCACUCCCCUUCUUUCUGGAACCCUAACUUUUUUUCUAUUUAUAGUUAGCUUAAUCUUUUGUUUUACUUUUUGUUCUAAUUGUGGGCGGGGAUUGGUUGCUCGUGCGGCAGAAUCUUAUCUUCAGGUUUCUUCAGAGCGUAAGUUUGGAUCUAUCCGUUUUUUUUUUGUUUCUUGGUAUCCUGAUUCAAUAGAAUUGCUGAUUUUGUUGAUUUUUUUUGUUAUUGGAUUGCUCUAGAAAGCUCGCAUCCAGAUCUGGCUCUUUGAGCAGAAGGAUUUGAGGAUCGAAGGGCGGAUUAUUGUAUGUUCUUUUCCCCAUUUCUCUAGGGUUUAUGGUUUAAGCAUUAUGCAAUUCAUUUUAUACCGUUACCUUGUUUUUUGCUAGUAAAAUCAGAUGCGCAUACCAAGUCUUGAUUUUUUUUCGUUCGUGUUUUUCUGCUGUGUUCUGUGUGUAUACUACGUGCUUGUAUCAAAUCAGGAUUAGAUAUCAAUGCUGUAAUAUUAUGCAUUUCAGCUUAUUGAUAUUCACGAUUUCUUUAGUUGAUGGUGGUUGAGGUUUUAAUGUACGUGCACAGGACAAUUAACGAAUCAGGUACUAGCUUGCUAUUUAUGGACAUUGUGUAUUCUGAAAUAUAAGAAGCAAGCAAGGAGUAUUAUGGAGUUCAAGAGGGUAAAUGUUAAAUAAUCAGGUGCUUGCUUGGAUUUAUGGGCAGGAUGCAAGAGUGAAGAGAGUCGGGUAUCAAUUGAUUUUUUUUAAAAAAUAUUUUGUAGCAUAUAUGUUGUUGGUACUUGCAAUUAGUUUUAAGAAAUUUUAGCCAUAAAGGGUACGAGGUGCUAGAUGUAUGUCUAUUUAGGUAAAUUUGUAUUGUCGGUGGACACUUAUAAUAGAAAGAAUUGCUGAAUUCUUCUUCAUCAUUAUCAUUUUCUUCUUCACUUCUUCACUUCUGCAUUUUUUUUCUGAUAGAAGGACUUUUUCCUGCUUAAGUAUAAAACAUAAGGCCCUGCUAAUAUAGUUGAUUGUCCUUUUGUUUAUGCUUGGGUAAGAGUAUCUUCUUGAAUUGCAUGAUCUUUGCUUGAACUGGCACAAGGGAAUAUUAUAUUUAGUUAUAUGACUUCCAAAAUGGUUUGCUUUUUUGAUGGAUCAGAUUUUCAAGACACAAAUAAACAGAAACAUCUUUUUUUGCAUAUUGCAUGUGUAUAUUGUAUCAACUAAUGGAAUAAUUGUUGGAUAAACUGCAACUUGUAAGACAACUUAGAAGCUAGUUCAUUGAUCAGUUGAAUCAUAGAAUCCUGAUUUUGGUUUUAGGGGAGCAAAAAUUUGGUGGUUUCUUGGGGGACCAUACAUGGUCGGCAGAACCGUCCCGAACCAUCUGGUUUGGAAUGUUCUAAGCCGUACUAGCGGUGGACUGAGAUGGUUCUGGCAACCAAAACAAGAAAUUAGGAUGGAGGGAGAGAAGAAGGAAAGAGAGGGAGAGCAAGGGAGGGAGGAAGAGGGAGACGAAGGAAGAGAGAAGUGAGGGUGCCGGCCGGCCGGUGGAGGGCUAUGGAGGGCCGAGGAGCCAUGCGGAGGGGCAACGCUUCCGGUUUUCUUGUUUCGUUUGAAAUAGGGGUUCCGAAGGGGGCCUUUUUUUCUUUUCGAAAAUUUUAAGUGAAGUCGGCUAGAGGUUUGCCGGCUUCACUUGAAAUUUUUGAAAAUAAAAAGGGACCCCUGAACCUCUCCGCCGCCCCUCCGUGCGGCUCCGCCGGCCUCCUCUCUCUCUCUCUCUCUCUCUCUUUCUCUCUCUCUUUCUCUUUGGUUCUUCCUCUCCUGCGCCUCAUCUACUGUGUCGGUAUGGCCCGGCAUGGAAUGACAUGGGAGGUACCGACCUGUGCCACUGGGCAACUGGUUCGGGCUCCGAUUCCGGCACAACAAUCUUUGGAACCAUAUGUUGACAUUGUCCACAUAUUUUAAGUUCCCUUCCUUCCUGAUCACCCCUUUUCUCACUCGUUGGGUGGGUGACAUUUCCACCUUACCAUUACUAUUGUUACAAGGUCACAUCAUUGUUUAUAUCGAUUCAUAAUAUACUAAGGCGAGAAAUUUCUUCAAAAUGGCAGAGAGGUUAUUUGCAUUACUUUCAAGCAUAAAAUUUGUCAAAACUCAACACCAAGAAUUUCCCUGUUUGGAUAACUGGCUUAGAGUUUUGAUGAAUGGUCCACUUAAUGUUGUUGAGAAAACACUGAGUACAAAAUGUGGCUGUAAUGGGUUGUCAUAAGAGAUAAUUGGUUUGUUUCAAUGUUGCAUACUAUUUGAACCAUGCUAUAUUCGGUUAUGGGAGUGAGGUUCUUGAUCCGUGGGGACCAAAAAUGUUAAAAAUUGCAAUAAGUUCAUAUUCUUUUAUAUUUUGAAGAAAUCAUGGUUUUAUAGAAUAGAAAAUUUCAAUGUUCUAAUCAUGGCAUAACUGCUUUCAGUUUCUUAAGUUAAACUUUAUUCAUCCUUUGCUAAUAUAUAUCGAGGGUUACGACUUCACUUAAACAUUAUCAUGUCUAUUAAGGUCCAAGUUUUGGUUGCAUACAAGCAUUCAUCGAAUAUCUAGGUUACCCAGACACUUCAUUUUUCAGGCAUUUGGAAGUAUCAUCACUUUGGACACUUGGACAUGGUAGGAGCAUAGGACCCAACAUGGCAUGUUUGGAUAUUCUACUUUGAAGUGUCUUGUCAAUGAUAGCUAAAAAGACGGGCAAACGAGCAAGCUGUUCCCGAACUAGCUCAAGUUUGGCUUGAAAUUAGGCUUGAGUUCAGCUCAAUCGAUUAAGAAAUGACCCUAGCUAGAUCUAGGCUUAACUCGCUUGAGCUCAACUAGAAUUAGCUUGAGACACUUAUUUAAAUAUUAUAUAUAUUAUCUAUUAUUUUAAUUGUUAUUAUCUAUAAAAUAAUUUUUUUACAAUUGUUUAUUAUAAAUUAACCUAGGUUGUGUAGAAUAAAACAUAUUUUAAUUAUAAGAUUAAAAUAUAAUUGAGAUUAUUAUUCCAAACUAUACAUACGAAGGCAUCGAAAGAUCCUAGAUUGUUAUGAUAUCUCUUAACAAAGCUGUUCAUGAGCAGCUUGAGCUCUGUUCAAUUAUUUAAUGAACGGAGCUAGAGCUAGGCCUGGCUCAGCUUGUGUUUGGCUCGUUUCCAACCCUAGCAGCAAUUGUCACUUUUAUUUGGAGUUUCAUGCAAGGAACUAGACAUUUUAAGCAAAGUCUUAUUACAUUUUAAAGGUUAUCACAAUUAAUUGUUAGUUUCAGUAUCUUAACAUAUUGUAAGUAACUGUAAAUGAACCUUAUGAAUAACUUAAAAAACAACUUAUAAACUUAUGGGUAUUAUAUUAUUUUGUUUGUUAGUCAUCAUAUAUCUAUCAAUUGUUUGCCUUUUCUAUUUGACAUUUUUGUAUGAGAAUGACUUCUAUGUGUAUUUCUGCAUGUCUAUGUCCCUGUGCCUAGAUCCGUGGAGUCUGAUGUAUCAUAUGUUUGAGGAUAUUCUUUCACCAAAAAAGGGACAGACACUGGGCACCUAAGUUAAGUGUCCAGGUGACAAUGCUAGUGCGGUAAAAAGCAAGUAUUUUGCACAGAGGAUUUGCAUGUUCUGCUUUCUUUGAAUACUUUGGUCUGGCAACCCUAUAUCUGCAAUGCCCAAUGUUUGUUGAACGAUAGGUUAAUGAUACUAUCUUCCAUUUAGUUGCCCUAUUUUGUUGUAGAAGUUGAUGGACUAUUAUACUGCCUGAAAACCUUACCACAUUGUAGUCUAGGGGCGGGUUAAUUAGAUUUAUAUGAGAAAAUGGAAAGGAAAGGAGUCUUUUUUGGAACCAUUUUGUGCUUAUUCUAAUUUUACAAUAACCAACAAAUUCUUUUAUUUAUGCAUUGAAUAACCAAAUAAUCCAUUCAUUUUUCAAUAUGUACUUUCAUAUUUACAUUCCAUUAUCAAUGCAUCUGAACCAUCAUAGUGUCUGUAGAAUACUCUACUUCAGUAACUGUCAGACUGUCCUAAACCAGGCGGUUCGGUGCGUAUUGAACUGGACUGAAGAUGUGUAUAUAUCAUAUAUAUAUAUGUAUAUGUAUAUAUGUGUACAUACACACAUUUACACACACACACACCCUCCACUUUCACCCUCUCCCUCUCUCUCUCUCUCNNNNNNNNNNNNNNNNNNNNUCUCUCUCGAUUCUUCUGAGCUCUCUUUCUCUUCCUAUGCCUCUCUCUUCCGUCCAAUCUCCCGCUCUCUGGAUCUCUUGGUCUCUUCGUGAUGAUGAUCGCUCCCUGAUGGCUAGGGUUAGGUUAUACCAUUGGUUGUUUCGGUAAACCUCGGCUGUUACAAUAUGUAUCGAUAGCGUACCGAAUUGGUUGUUGGCAGGUAUGUCCUCUAGUACUGGUUUAGUGAACCUUGCUUUAUACCAUUUCUGUUAGGUUUUUUUUGUCCCUUUCUUUUUCCAAACCAAAAUUAACUAAUCUUCUUGUUGGUUCAACUCUUUCUCAGCAUGUAACUGAAUUGUUUUUUUGAAAAAUUACAGCGAUGCCCCUUCAACUUUUUGCGAAAAACAGUUACACUCCAAAAGUUUUAAUUUUUUCAAUUAGACCUCAAAAUUUAGUUUUUAGUGGCAAUGUGGCCUAGCUGUCCAUCUUAGUUCUAACAUCGUUAACGACAUGUGUAAAAUGACUAAUUUAUCCGCAGGAGUUACCGGUGGAAUGGGGGAGGAGUCACAUGAUUGGCAGGUGAUCUCCUUCCAUUCCUACCAAAAAACUUACCCCUCUUCUAAGCCAGAUGGGAGGGGUAUUAAUGGCAUAUUAUGUCUGAAAUUAUGUCACGUGACAAUCAUGUGUUCACAGAUCCUAAUGGAGAUGGAUGGCUAGGCCACUUUGCAACUAAAAACUAAGUUUUGUGAUCUAAUUGAAAAAAUUAAAAGUUUUGUGGUGUAAGUGUUUUCACGAAAAGUUAAAGGGGUGUUGCCGUAACUUUCCUCUUUUUUAAAUGUUGCUUCAUGAAAGCAUAUUAUUUUUUUUCGGGGCAUCAUAGAUGUCAUAUGUACAUCUCAAAUAUCCUCAUUUUUUCGCUCAUCUUUUUGUAAGUGUCAAACAUGCUUAAUAUUGCAACCCAAUACCUAACUUAUGCUGAUUUUAUCUGGUAAUUUAUUGCUCAAUACUUUUGUUUGUUUGAGAAGUUCGUCAUGUUUUAUACAAGAAGCUAACACUAGAAGAUCUCUCCUUCAUCACACCUGUUCUUAUUUAAUUGGAAGUGGAAAUGUUCACCCAUAUACAGCUAUAUAAAUUAGAUUAAGAAAUUCUUAUGAAAGUUAAGGAAUGUGAGAUCAACCCUGAGUGGUUACUUUUGUUAAAUUUGGAUCGUGGAACCACAUAAGCAUUAAUUGAAGUUAUUUGCCUUGGUUUCUCUCUAGGCCCUUUUAUUGUUGCAUGAAACACGAUACAUUUUAUGGUCAGCAAUCUCAUGACCUUUCUUUCUAUUUUCUUCAAGUUAAUGGAACCAUCUGGAAUUUUAUGGUCCACAACCAGGAUCUUAAUAAAUUGAGUAUGAAACUAUGAAGUGCUAUUUGUGUGCUUUCGAUUUUGUGGUAAGGAAAAUAAAUCUGGUGGUGAUAUAAUAAUGUUUUCAAUCUAUUAAAUAUUAUAUAUUUUCUUUCUUAAAAAAAAUUGGUGUUGUUUUCUUUGUGAUAUCUAUCUUACAUGGCAAUGUCUGUGAUGUUUUUGCAAUGCAUGUUAUUUUCCUUUGCAUUGUAUAUUAGCAGAAAAAUAUUUUGUCUUGGAAGUUGUGUUUCAAGAGCCUGCCAAAGAUAAUUACCAGGAAUUAUAGCUGCUUAUGCUUGUUCUCUUUGGAAGCUGGAGGGUGUAACUGCUUUGUUUACUAUAUCAAGCCAGAUAUUAUUGGUUCAUGCAAGUUAAAACAAUUUCCCAAAUAAGAAUAUGUUCUGGAGUUGGAGCAUUUCAUAGCUACAUGUCUAAGCCCGUUGCCAACUAGUAAAUGCUUCAUUGUACGAGUUUUGAGUCCAUCGGUAAUUCUUGUGCAUAUUAAUUUAGGGGAGAUUGUCUAUCAUGUAAUUGGACUAGGAAUUUUAUUUUGUUAUUGUAGUUAGUUGAGGCAUGGCUUUGCUUGAAGUAUCUGCUUUAUUAUUAGUUUUAGAUAGGCUUAAGGCUUUUGCAUUUUAAUUGUGGAGGAAAUAUAAUUAUAUAUCUUUUAGUUGCUAAAAUAGGAUGAGGCUUGUUGCGAUUGAUCUUAGUAGCUAAGUCUAGUUUAAGUUGGAUAGAGGUUGAAGCAUUAGCAAAGGGCAUGAUAUGGAAAUGUUAGUUACUCUCUCUCUCUCUCUCAUUGAGUAUUCAUCUCCUUUAUCUUCUUUGAUAUCUUCUGAAAUGCAUUCAGGGAGCCCUAUACGGAGUCAAGCAUAGUUAUAAAAACCAUACUGAACUAGCCAGUUCGUUAGAAAAACCGGCGAACUAGACCCUUGACCAGUUCAGUUUUUACAUAGGAUCAGAAGUGAUGGCGGACAAAGCUCUCGAGGGAAGGAAGAAGAGAUGCUCUGAUACCAAGCUGAUGGCGGACCACUGCAGGGAGAAAACAGAAACAGGAAGAAGAAGGGAAGGAGAAGGAAGAAGAGGUUAUAUAGACACAGGAAGAAGAGAAGAGGAGGAAGAAGGAGAAGAAGCAGAAAGGAGGCUAGGGUUUUUAUUCAAUCAUUCAACUCCCUAAUUCAUGAGAGGAGUGGCCCUUAUAUAGGCCUUACAUCAUGAAUUGACCAAGUCAAACAACUAACAACUAACCAAAGUUGGACCUUUCAAUUAAUUGACUAAGUCAAUUAAUUGAUUACAUACCAAAUUAAACCUUACUAACAUUAGACCAUUAAACCAAUUAAUCACACCCAAAAUUGGAUCUUUAUAAUUAGGUCUUACAUUGAUCAAUUGAUCCAAUCACUUGACUCAACAACCAAAUCGACUCAAACAAAAGCAACUAAUAAGGCAGUAAAAGAUACAUGAUGCAGACUCGAAUGAACCCAAACCGAGGCCUGACUCAACCCGAUGGCUCAAAACUAUCUCCUAGCCAUAAUGAUGUCAAUCCCUGGCGUGAACACGAACGAGUAGCUCUGAUGUCCCCAUCCCCAUCAAGAAGUUUAGUUCAACCACUUGAGUAUCACUAACUUGGCCAGUUUUUAGGAAAAAGCAGCGAACUAAGUAGAUAGGGUUGGAAAUGGGUCAGUCCACGUGCCUACCCAAGCUCGGCCUUUUUUUUAUUGAGCUUCAGAUCAGGCUUAGGUCCAAAAUUUUUGAAAAAUCUAGGCUCGACCCGAGUUAGGCCCGGGCCUAACUUGAAACCCGAUUGAGCCGACCCAAAUUAGCCGUUUGGGCCAAAAGUUCACAGUAGUUUGCCAGCGAUAGGAGGAUUGCUUACUUGCCUUCGCCUUGCUUGGAUCGAUGAUCGACGUCCAACGAAAGGUAUGACCUUCAGGGACCAACGAUUGGGUUGGAAUGGGGCAGGGACCAACGUUUGGGUUUGAACAGGGUGAAGAGGGUGGUGGAGGCGUAGAGAAGAGAAAAGCGAUGGCUUUUGAUUAGAAAGUUGAAAUAUUUAGGUCUCUAAUUUUAAGCCCAAACCCAAUUUGAAAUUACUCAGGGUCUAGCCCAUAGCCUUGUCUAAAGUUGACAUGGCCCGAACCCAUUUCCAACCCUACAAGUGGGUGAAAGCAGGUAAUCGGGCUGAUCAAAAUUCUUCAAAAAUUGUUGAUAUUGUGGAUGAGUAGUGAUUACCCUUGUCCUGGGGUUUGCGAUGGAGCCUCUCAACCCCAGGAUGCUAAUUGAUUUUUGAUAACUUAUGAAGGGAAAAAAAUAUCUAUGUUAUUCAAUAGAUGUUAUUUACUCAAUUUUUUAAUAACAAUUUCUUUCCAAUCGAAAAGAAAAUUAAUCAUUUUUUUCUUUGGUGCAAAAUUAAAGAAAAGAAUGUAUACUUUAUUUAUAUUUUCCUAUAUUAUAUACAUUUUUACUUACAUUUUUUUCAAAAUCAAAUGAUUAUGAUUUUUUUUAUGUAUGCCGCAAUGAAAGAGUAAUGUAGAAUAUAGAUCAAUGUGUUCUAAAGAGUAGUAUUUAAAGCAAAAAAAAUCAUAAAUCCUUUUCAUCAAAAAAAGGAUAGAACUGUGGAUAGUUAUACAUUUUUUAUAUUAUAUCCAAUUUUUUAAAAUAUUUUAAUCUUUUAAUAUUCUAAUUAUAUUCUGGUUUGAUCGGUUAACAUGGCAGUUGGACCAAUGAUUUUUAUAACCAUGGAGUUAAGGUUUUUGUUCCCUUACAAAGAAGAGAGUAGAUUUGUUUUCAAAAUAUAAUGCUACAUAAGUAGUGGUAGAACAAGGUCUGUCCUUGCUAGUUGGCUUCAACAAUGAUCUAUUUGCCUACACGAGAUAAAAAAGAAGAAGAGCUACUUGGUAGUAAUCCUGUGAUUAGUGCAUAGUCAAUAAAAUAAAUAAAUAAAUAAAUAAAAGGUCCAAAAAUUGAUGGUGGUGCUUAUGGACAUAGCAUAUUGGCUAAAACACAAGCAAAAGCUUUAAGGAAGGUAGCCUAAGGAGGACAAGAUUGGCAUAGUUGGUCUUCGAGAGAAAGGGUAUACAAGCAUCAUGUUACUGGAUCUAGUUUUUCUCAUAAGAAUAUAAGAUCUAUUCCACACUGAGAAUGUAAGAUCUUCUCAGAGGUGAAGAAAGUGCACCUUGUAGCCUACUAGCUUAAGAGAUAAUUGUUAUUUCGUGAGAGCAGCUUAAGUUAGGAAUGGUAUUGGCAACAAAGUAUCUACCUAGCAGCAGUUCAAAAAAUUGUUAUAGUCACAUUCUGCACCUGAUAGUUAUAUAAUUGAGUUCAAUUUCUGCAAUAUUCAGACUUUCAAUGCAACAUAAAGCUAGAAGCAUGAGGACAUACAACAUAGUUUCUGAGUUAGAUAAAUUCAAUACGAUGCACCUUUUUUUUCGAUGAGUUAUUUGAAAUAAUAUGCCUAAGAAAGGAAGCUCUUCGUUCCAAGUAUGCUUUAUGUGGAUUGAAAUUCUUCUCCACUUUCUCUUCAUGGAAUAUUUUUUAAGUCUGUUGUACAUAAGGUUGUGGAUUUGAAAAGGACUUCAGGGAUAUCAAUAAUUGGGGCGAUGUCUCCAAGGAGGAUUGGUAUGAUAGUCGAAGAGGUCAUGGAAGAUCAAAUUGACGACUGAAACAAGUUAAUGUCAAGGAAAAUUUUACUAGUGGCUGCAUGUUCUAGGCCAAGGUUGGCAACAGCGGCAGGAAUUUUCAAUCUGAUAGUUUUGUUAAGAUUUGAAUUAUUAUUUUGGCAGCUUGUGUGGAAUCUGACUGGUCAUGCACCACAGGCAAGUGGACAGCUAUACUUGCAUUUGAUGUUAUGAUCUAAUGCAUCAUGAAAAUUAGGAAAGUGAUCUAAGACUUCUAGCUCAGGUUUUGUUAUGGCUAUUUGAACAAGAGUGGUGAAUUAUCUUCUUUAAAAAAUUGAUUAAGAUUAUAAAUGGUUAUCAUUUAGCACCAUAUGAAUAGACAUACCAUCACAUAGUGCUGCAUGAAUUUACUGUCUGCAGGGGUACAAGUUGGUAUGCAACUAUAAUACCUCGAAAUUCCAGGACAAAUCAUUUUGAAAGGGAUAAUUUCAUGCAAGAGAAGUAAAAAAGCAACAUGAAUGGGUUUGUAUUGCAUGUCAUAUUCCAGAGAUUAAGAUCGAGUCUUAUGGACACCAUGGUUUUUUACACCGAGGUGGUAGCACAGUUGGAACGGAGCUUUGUUUCCAACAGAGUGACUCAGGUUCGAAAUGCGCGGGCGUCGAUUAAAUGUGGGGACCGGAUGCCCGCCUGGUUUGCCCGUUGGGAGCGCUACUGAUCCUCUGGUACUGAGGUGGUGCUGGGGUGACAUACUCACAUGCGGGUUCGCCCGUGCUAGUGGGUAAGUUAUGAGAAACUUUCUACCUGCAUCGGACAUUCUCUGGUGGAAGGGGGGCCCAGUGGGGCUGCUAUGCGGGUGGGGUUAAUUCCCCUCCCCCCUCCUCUCCUUUUGUCUAGCAAAAAAAAAGAGCUUGCAGUUCAACUGGAGCAAAUGGCAUAUUGGGGUUGGAUAAGUUGUUUGGCGAGGGUGACUAUUUCUUUUGAUUGAGAUAAGUGGUUAGGCAUGUUUCAAGGUUGAAAAAAGUCUUAGUACUAGUAGAGGUCAUUGUAAUAUAGAGUUAAACACAUUAUUUUAUAUUUUCUUGUUUAAUCCAAAGUUCAGAAGCUCUGUUUCUUUUCUGUUUCCCAUACUGAAUCGGGCACCUCAUUCUAUAAUUCACCAAGGCACUUAAUUAUCAACUCAACUUUUCUAUAGUGACGUGAAGUAGCGGAUGAAAUGAAUGCCCAUGCACAGGUAGUUACUUAAACCCUUUAUUGCUAGGAUAACUUUCUGUAGUUUUCUCCAUUUUUUCAGCAAAAAAAAACCCUUUAUGGCUAGGAUGAGUUGCUAGUGGGCCUUCUUUUGCUUCUGAUGUAACCCGAAUAGAUUGGCUCUUGUUGCUUUUUUCAACUUUUCCAUAGUGCUACAUUCACCAUCAGGUUCCUUCUAGCAUUGGAAACUGGUUGCUUUCUGCGUAUUCUUUUUCCUUUUUCUUUUUUGUUUUUUUUCUUUGCUUUGUAAAAGAGUGAAUCAAUUCCCUGAUAUAGGUGAAUAUUUUAAUACAGCAUCAGGCAGAUCCGAAGCGCUCCUAGAGCUUGUAAGCAAUUAUGGUUGAGCUGGUGGAUGGUACUGUUUAAGGUUUUUAUGCUAAUUGUCAAACCAUUGACUCUGAUUGAUGGUGUGCUCUGGAUCAUAGAUCAUUCACUGUGUCUAUUCCUAGUUUCUUGCCUCAUUUUGCAAAUUCUUUUGAUUCCUCCACUAAUACAAUACAAAAGUUUGGAUGGUGGCCAUUGUUGUGUAGCUAGUGGAGUGGUCUUUGUUUUGGACAAAGUGGCCUAUGUUGAUGACAGUGACAUGGACAUCCUGCAUCUCCAUUCUUAUUUGAUAUAGUCGCAAAUUCUCGAUGUGUGGCAUAACAUGAUCAUACAUAAUCACAUAACAGAAACAAACUAUACUCCUAAAUGGAGAUAUCUAUACGUGUGAACAUCAUAGGCCUCUUUUUCGACAUCAGGAUGUGUUUAGACAGAAUCAGACGAGGAUCAGUUUUGAUACUGAACAUCAAUUUUAUGGCAUAUCAUGCAGGGUUUUGAUGAGUACAUGAAUUUGGUGCUGGAUGAUGCUGAUGAACUUAACAUUAAGAAAAAUACCAGAAAGCCGCUGGGUUAGUUAUGUUACUCUCUGUCUUAUUAUUUGCUUUUUUUGCUUUCUUCAUUUUGAAUUUUUGCUGAAUGCAUCUUUUUUUAUUUGUUCAGGGAGGAUUCUCUUGAAAGGAGACAACAUAACUUUGAUGAUGAGCACGUAAGUGAACCAAAAGUUUUCUUCUCUAUGACGUUGCUCCCACUCCUCUCUCUCCCUAUCGGUUCUACAGUUUUAACUUUUCUUUGUUCUUUUCCCAUUUCAGGGGGAAAUGAUGACUGCUUGUGCUCCGGGAGGUUUUACUUGAGCUUGAACUAGCUUUUAUCUGGAAGGACGUGGUGGCUGACUUUUUAGCAUUUCGAAGCUUUGUUUGCGCGCCUUUUCAACUUGCUUUCAUAUAUAUGAUUUUAGAAACCUUCUGUAUGGAUAUUUGAGCUGCGUGAUAGUUUACCUACUUUGGAUUAAACUGCAGUACUUGAACAGAUACUGUACCCAAGGUAUCUUCAGGUGUGCUUAGUGCUGCAAUCAAAAGGCUUGGUUAUGAAGGCCAAGGUAGAACCUUCUUCAUAUUCUCCUGUAUUCUGAUUGCUCAUCUUAAAGUCAUUGUCUGUGAGAUCCCAUUCGUUUCGCACGAUUCAACAGACGGUGUAUUCAGAAUCGUGCACGCUCAGAUGUCUGCGAUUGGACUGGGUACCCUAUAUGUAAUCUCUUCUUUUUGGAACUUUGAGUUCUUUGAAGUGGAUGGAACUUAGUGACAGGCUAUGGCAACCUUAAGCAAAGAGAUGCCUUAAAACUUUUUCAUCAAUUUCCUCGCUAGUGUUGUUGCUUCUCCUUUCUAGUCUUUACGUGGUAUUUGUUUUAUCCCACCAUUCACCUUUGCCAAAAGGAUGUGAUACAUGGAGCUAAAGUAGUUUACGCCACGCUGCGCUAAAGUAUAUCAUCUGACUGGGAGCAAAGUUAAAGCUGUUAAGCUUUCCUGGUGGUGGAUUUGGUUUGCUCAACUUUUUGUCAUCAACUGCUCUUAUCCUUAAGCUGGGCUGUGGCAGUGGAAUAGAUUUUUUGUCACAUCGGUUCUGUCAUCAGUUGUAAGGUAUAACACCCAAUUUGUCAAGUAAUGAUGAUGGUUAACCAAACCACCCAUGAUUAAAGCCUGUACUCUUGUGAGGGAGACAGCCACUCAGCCCAUUGUAUUUAUUAACUUUCAACAAAUCACACUUCCUCAUUGCUCCAUAGAUUGUUCUAUGGAUUAAAAUAAGUGAAUUAUGUUGGCCAAACUCCACCGUGGUCAUGUUAUCAGGGGACCCGGCGGACAAAUCCAACUUUGUUCUUCCAGCCUCGCCUUGUCUUUGAUACUAGUAAUAUUUAAAAGCCCACAUAAAUCAUUAUUGUUAGUGCUUGCCCCAGUGCUUAUCAGAAAACUAAAUCAUAGUGCUUAAUAAAAGGGAACGUGAGUACUUCUGCAACUAUGUCAGUCGCUUGAAUACAUAAAAGCAAGAUUGCAUGACAGACAACGACGGUUAGUAGAAAAUUUUUGACUGCCAGUCAAGUCGAGAUCCUUCGGCAAUCAGAUGUAUAUUAAAACGAUAGGAAAAUAAAAGUAAACUUUAAUUGAUUAAUUGUUAUCAUCUCUGUGGUCCGGACAAUGGCCUGUUAAUGCACAGCUCCUUCUGAAACUGUACUGGAUUUUUGUUUCUCAAACCAAAGCCUCAGAUUAUUAUCAUAUUAAAAAUAUACUGAUUAAUCUCGCUACAAUUAGCCCUCCACUCAUAGUCUUGCAAACUGAAGAAUACCACACUAAGCUACGUGCAAACAAUAUAUUACACUCAGGCAUUGCAGUCUUCAUGCAGAUUUUUUUCUGUCAGCUUCUUGGAGGUCACUUAUGGCGAGCACAUCCUCCGCAUCAUAGAGUUGUGUACCGAGGGUUGCUGUGGAGUUACUGGAGUAAUGGUACGGUGCACCAUAGGACAUGGGCGGAGAGGAUUGCCGAGGUCCGUUGGGGGUAGGCAUUCAUAGGGUGCCACGUCGGAUUGGCAACGAAGUUGGGAACUGGCGACCCUUUAGAACGUUUUUCUUGUGUAUGUCCUAUUUGGCUGACGUGGAGUCAUGGCCUUUAUCCACCCAUCGAUCUCUCUAUCGUUGAAAAUAGAGAAUUUUUUUUUGGCAAGACGGUCCUAUGAUUCUAGCAUUAAUAUAUCCAAUAAUAUCAUAGAAAGAAGAUGACGAAAAAAAAGAGAGAGCAAGCCUCAUAACUAUCCCAAUCAACUGUAGAGAUAUUAUUAUAAUAAAAAAAAUCGUGUUGGUGAUCUUCAUCACUUUUCUCUCAGAAUUGACAAUAUUCCCUCGCUGUAAUAAGAAAGGGAAGGUCAUGGGGCUCUCAUCAUCAAACCACACCAAAAUGGGACCUGCACAGGCUGUCACGAAUGACCACCCUUUUUCCACCGACGCCGGUGAGCACUGAGCAAGAUUCUCAAAGUGGAGGAGAACCAUUUGGAGCCUAAGAAUUUUUGUAAAAUUAUUUAAAAUUUUUAGAUAAUGAAUGCUCUUACUUGUUGGUCUAGAUGAAGUUCUUUUCUCUACCGCUUCUUCUUACGAGCAUCAACAUUUUUUAUUCUGAUUAUUUAGGUUUGGAGCCAUUUAGCUUCUUUUUUCGCAUUUAUUCCUCUCCUUUCUUGAUAAUGUAAUUUAAUUUUGCCUUUCAUCUCUGCUGUAAAUAUGAUUAAUUUCAAUAAAAGCCAGAUGAUUUUUUUUGCCUCCUUUUGCAUCAGUAAAAAAAAUAAAAAUAGAAAUCUUUUAUUAUAGCUAGAGGCUCAAGGUGCCCUGAGGUUAUGCAAGCCCAGGUGAUGGUGCAAAAAAGCUGGGGCGGCCGACCCCCCAGAGGGGGCACAGCGGCAUGACGCCGCUGAUUCGUCCCGCCACCCCAAAUUUGUGACGAGAGAUUCCAACAAACACUUGUCCUUCAUUCUCCACCAACAUCAUCAUUAGCUGCACAUCUCCCCUCCCAAUAUCUUUCUUUGUUUGGUGGCUCAAUUCCGAGACCAAACAAAUAUGCGGACAUUCGGAUUCCGCACGAUGGGAAGGUAGAGAGAGGGCUGCGUCUACUGGCCAUUACAGGGGCCUUGGGCUUCCUAGAUUGUUUUAGACAUAGGCUAUUAUUUGCGUGUUAAACUCGUCGCUACUUUAGCGAAAAGUAUCACGCGUUUACGCUGGCGUGAACUUUAGGAAAGGAGUUUAUGACUGCCAGAUAGGCAUUGGUUAGGCAGCGAAUGCAUGGGAACGGGGAAGAUGACCAAAGCAGCAGCAUUCAUACUGCUUUGGAUCCGCCUCCAUGUUUCCAUAAACCAAAACCAGCUAUGUUGCAAUGUUGAUCUAAACCAAUAACGACAAUAUUUUUCUAUUGUUAGCUGGCAUAACACGAUAUUUUUUUUUUCUUUUUUGGUGAAAUACAAUAUAUGUAUUGAAGCUAUUUUUAUAUUGCUGGAACUACGAUUUAGAAAUGCUAGAAAGCAUGUCCUUGCAUAAGUUGACAACCAUGUGGUUAUUUUGUAUUGUAAUGCAAAUUUUUUUUUGGUCAGCAUUCGCCUCUUGCAUACCAUCGGUUUGUGACUAUUUUUUUUUUGUGCUGAAAUAGAUGAUUCAUACAGUUUUAAUAUGGAUGUAUCCAAUAAAAUCAGAAAAUAGUAAGUUUUGGAGUGCUGUAAACAACUUUAUUUUUGUAACCUAUAAGAUGUCUCCAGAAUAACUCGCUACAUACGAAAUCAUUUAACCUGUAAUCCUAUUUAUCUCUCUAAAAAUAUGUUUAGCCUAAAAGGCUGCACCACAGCUCAUCCUGGAGCAAGAGGUGCCCCAUCCGUCAUCCAAAAUUUGUACAUCAAAUUCCUUAGAUUAGUUAGAUUUGAAUGGUGGGUUACAUCCCUUCAUCACCAUCAUGUUUGUUAUAUAUGACAGGGAAUGAGGACAAAGGGCAUUCAGCAUUCCAAGCACGUCAAGUAAGGGAGAAGGCAAAAACCCAUGAAACCCGUUUUAAGCAUCCUUCCAAAAUCUCGGUAUGUCUUCCCUGUUUCGAUUGAAACCCCGCCCCACGGCAGAUAAUUCGGUGCCUGGGCGCCCUUGUCCUUAUCCCGCACCGCGAGAGAUGACGCGGGCGCCGGGGCCCACGCCCCAGCGACAGACUUCGCCGGCCCGGGCCCACCCCACCGGGUGGCAGGCAGCGCAAAAGUGCUGGGCCCCGCGUCCACCCUCCGGGCCCACACCUGAGGACCGUGCUGCAAACAUAAGACCCUAGUUCGCACCGUCCGAUCCGGUACGAGCGAUCUCUGAUUCGGCGGUGGAGGCGGGCGCGGCAAGGUUCCUGGUGGCGGACGACGGGACUCGGGCGAGGAGGCCAGCUCAGCGAGCAUUAUGGGGUACGGUGAGAGAAUGAGGAAAAAGAGAGGGGUUGCGUCGAGUCCAAGGAGCACGCACGUCAGCGUCUAACUGAAUCGCUUGGGUGAGGGCCCCCCGUGGUCCAUUUUUAUCCCUUGCAAAGCCUGUCACCUUUGCCUUCUUCCAAAGGAGAACCCUGGUCCAUCUUUAUGCCUUGCAAAGCCUGUCACCUUUGCCUUCAUCCAAAGAUGAACACUCGCUUUUAAGUCGAGGCAAAAAGGUAGGCUUGCUUCUCCGGUCCUUGCUGAAAUGAUGCUAAUAAAUAUUUACUUCGUGCCAUCUUUCAGACCAAGCACGUAUUAAAAGAAGCUAAUGGAACCGCAGACUGAGUAGCCUCAAUUAUGGCUAUUUAUUCCAAAGAUGUCUUGUAGAUUGAGGAAAAAAAGUUGCCUUGAACAUUCCGGUACUUGUUGUUUUCUAAUUUUAUUGGAUGUAUCUAUAUCAAAACUGUAUAAAUUAUUCUCUUUAGCAAAAAAAAAAAGACUUGCUUUUUUUAUCCAAAAAAAAAGAUAUGCUUUCUCUAUCUAGGAUGUCAAAUUAAUAAAUGAGGAAGAAGGAGAAGUAGAGAAGAGUUUGGCUUCCUUUCUAGGCCGCGAAUGGAAUGUUUCGUAUGAACAUGCAAACUUCUACGAAGGUUGCUAGCAUGAUCUCAUCACAAUUAUUUAGCUUUUGUUUGAUAGAAGUCUUAUGCUGUCCCUCUUGCUUAUCCAUGCCAAGACAUCACCUUGCAUAUACCUUUAAUGCGACUUUGAGGCAAGGAUGUGGAGAAAGGAUUGCCAACUAUGAUCUCGAUCGUCAUUAUCUUUAGGUUCCAUAUUUUGUCUGACUUGCCAACUUUUUUUUAGCUUGUUCGAGUGUAUACAUCAAUUCUUUAAUUUCCCUUAUGGUCGUUUCUGCGGUGUUCAUUAAGAGAAUGACGGAAGGUAAAGGUAAUACUUUGUACGAUGUAGAAGUGUUAUGGUAAAGUAGCAAGCUACUGAUAGCGGUUCUCAGUUGAAUUAACAGACAAUGCUUGACACCUGUAAUUAAUUUCAAUCCUACUAAAGGGAUUUCUUUUCCUAAAGCCAUAAUUGUAUUCUUCAUUACAAAAUCACCGUAUUGUCUAUAUUACUUAAGUUUGUUGUAAUACUGCUUAUCGGCAGGCAUACAAGGUUUGCCUUACGGUAUGCGACUCGAGUGCUGAUCGAUCUAACCUCGAAAUAUGACUCCACUUGAAUAAUUAACAAAGGAAAUGAAUAUUGCUAAUAUAAAGUUAUCUUAGCUAUCAUCCACCUUUGGCUGGCAUCAACUUAUCCUCUACACAUCAUAACCAAUGAAAUCUAUUUGACACGAACCAUAAUAUUAAUUUCAAGGAACAACUCAUGAUCGAACAAGUGCACGAUAUGGUUCAUCACUCAGAAUUCAAAUGGCAAGUCAUAAUAUAUCAUGAACAGAAAGACCUGUUGGCUCCAAUUGGUGAGACACAAGUUGGCGACAUAAACAUUUAACCGCCCAGAUUCAAUGAAGCACCGUGCGAGCAAACUACCUACCUCGAUGGAGAAAUUAACAUGUGAAUCCCAACGACAAAUAGCCAAGUGUAGCUGCGCCCAAGCAUAAACAAGAAGCAUCAAAACCACGGGCGGCUUGUAGUUCGCCCAACCAAUUGGAGCAACUGGACUGAAACUCGUUUCUUUUCACCCAAAAACGAACCCUAAUGGCCAAAGGCAUUGCAGAAAACACGUAAAGAUGAUAGAAAUAUAUUAAUAGAAAAGGGUGGUGUAGCAUCUGCCGUAUUCUUCCAUCUCUUCAAAUCAAAUCACAUCAAGCAUCUAAAUAACAAGAGAAAGGGAGCCUGGGAGGUCCCACGAACUUUUCCUUCGCUGCACUCCAUUCCAUGAAUCAUUACAGUCGCCCUAGGCUCUUCCUCUAGUGCUGUUCUCAUUAUACCUCGAGAAGGCAUAUCAUACACGCGAGGGCCCCCGGCUGCAAUGGAUAAGUUCAUGGCUAACAACAUCCAAUUACAUUUUUUCCACAGCCAGAAAGAUUCAGCACCCUCAAAGGUGGCAAUCAAAUAAAAUAUGCUUCUGAUCAAGGGGAAAGUAUAAAAUGGAAUACAUGUUUUGUUUAAGAGAAAUUUGUAAAGAUAUCUUUUUGCUUCUUGUAUUAUAAGCUCUUAUGCUGACGAUAGUAACUAGAAUCCCUCUCAUGUUUUGCCAAACUAAAAAUUUAAGUAUGAAAUAGUGCAACAAAGUUGAUAUAAAUAAAUAGUUGCAUUUUAUGGGUUAGUCUCAAUGAAGUAAUGCUUUUGACAGGGGAUUCACUCUUUUAGUGCACCCCUAAGAAAGCUGGUUGCCGCAUGGAGGGGCCUAAAUUAUGCCUCAGUUUACAUGGACCAGUGUUGGGAUUGAAGAUGAUUAUUCUACUACAAUCCGUUUUAUCAUCAAAAUUUUAUUACCAUGCCCAAAAAAGCAACCAAUUUGCUGGUUAGCUUGCCAACAUCGAGAUCUAUUAAGACAAACGAUGAUACAGGGGAUUAUCAAUUCUCUCUCACACCAAUGCUUCUAUAGCUUCAUUUUUACAUCAUUAAUUUAUAAAUUUGGGCCUCACUUUGAUCCCUUCUUUCUGCAAUUUUAAUCAAAUUUAGGCUGGAACCAAGUUAACUAGAGAUAUAAGCACUGAACUAUUGUGGUGCAGGUCUACCUUAUGUUAUUGAGAUCCACAUCUAUCCAAGCUGCUUAAUGGUACUAAACUUAGCACUCCAAUCAUAUGUAGAGAUCUAGAUUUAUAUCUAGAUUAAUGGUACAAAAUUUAGCACCCCAGUCAUGCCUGGAGAUCUAGAUUAUAUAAAUAUAUAUGGGACCAAACCUUAUGUAUCAAAAUGCACAAAAUGCAGCUUAAUGGUACAUCAUGUGCAUAAGUUUAUAUGUAUUAAAUUUGCAGUUUGCAUUAUGAAAGCCAAAUUUAUUUUUUUAUAUAAUAAAAAUAACAAAAAAUAUUAUUCUUAAAAAAAAUCAGAAUCUAAUUUCACUUGUUAAGGUCGAAUAGAACAUACUUUUAGAAAAGAAAAUGAAGCUUAGAAGGCUAUUAUGGAUAAAGUAAAAAUGAAAAAGUUCAAUACCACAUAGUAUAUAUCGAGCUAGUUAACUAUACAAUUUCACGCCUAUCAAAUUAAGCUACCUUUGUAAAGCCACCGUUAUAAAUACCCCUCGCAUCCUCCGCCUACUUUCCCAUCUCCCGAGUCCCAACCCAACGCCUCGUCCUAAAAAGAUCUCUCUCCCUCCCUCCUCUUUUUCAUUAAACGAGAGAGAGAUAAAAAGAAGGAAGAAUGAGGCCGGAAGCCGAGUUGAAGGCGAACGGAGGAGCAGCCAUGGCAGCGCCGCCGCCGGGGCCUCACGCGGCGUGGCACUCGCCGGUGCCGUACCUCUUCGGGGGGCUGGCGGCGAUGCUGGGUCUCAUCGCCUUCGCCCUCCUCAUCCUUGCCUGCUCUUACUGGAAGCUCUCUGGCUACCUCGAGAGCGGUGAUGGCGAUGUCGAGAACCGGGGCGGUGACGGGAAAACCAGCGCCGACCCCGCCGCCAAGCCGCGGGAAAGCUUCGAGCCGCGGAUUGUGGUCAUCAUGGCCGGCGACGAGGAGCCCACCUUCCUCGCCACGCCCAUUUCCAGCCGCGCCGCCGCCGACAGAGCUGUCGACACCGCCGGGAGCGAGAGCGUUGCUGACGGGAAGAAGACGGAAAGCGCGGCAACCGCACUGGCCGGCGAGCCGACACGGAACCACUGGGUGGAGGGCGAGCAGAACCACCUAGGCCAGGGCCAGAACGAAGAGCAGUGAUAUUUUUCUUCUUUUUUUUUUUCUCUUUUUCGUCUUUUUGGUUCGACAGGAUUGGAGGAAAAAAAAACAAAAGAAGAAGAAGAGGAAACUUUUUAAGUCAGGAUUGUAAAUUCUUGAGUUAGAUUGGAAUGGAGAAAGAUUAAUUCUCUCAACUUAUCUGUCUUUUUUUAGUUUUCUACUCAUAAACCUUCGACCUAGAUUUUAUUACUAAAUUAAAAUUUGCAGAACUCGGAACUACUCUGGAGGAAUGAGCCAAAGAAGGCGGGAGUUUCCCAUGCGAUUUCUAUUUAUUUCUAAAAAUACGAAUUCCCGUUUCCCGUGGGUUCAACGGCCCGUUCACAUGAAAAGAAAGAGAAAAGCAUGGCCAAAUUUUUAUUUGGUUAAAAUUUUUAAAAAAUAGAGAUAAAAAAUAACAUUUCCAUAUAAAUAAGAUUUUGAUAUUUUAUAAGAAAAUUAUGGGGAACGUAACAAAAAGCUACUUUCUGGUUAAAAAUUGAAAUACUUUUUUAAAAAAUAUUUUUAAGUUAUCAAAAUUUAUAGAUUUUUUUAUUAGAAGUAUAAAAAAUAUUUUAUAUUAUUUUUUUAAAAAAUAAAUGUCCAUUUUUUUGUAUGAUCAACUUAGUCAACAUUAUUUUUUUUAAAUAUUAUAUUUUUAAAAUUAAAAUUUUUAAAAAUUAUUUUGACGAAGAAUUUUUUUUAUUUGCCAACCAAAUGGCUUUCUAGUGUUUUCUGCCAGUGGCAAGCCGACCUCUCUCUGGCUUUAUCUAUCGGGUUUAAUUUUGAAAUGAAUGGAUGAUUACUUAAAAAGUACGAGAAGAAAAGGGAUAAAGGUAGAAAUACAGAAUUUUCUUUGGCAAAUUGACACGGAGUUAAGCGCUCUACGUGGCGAGUCAUGGUUGGCUCAAAAGAGGCAAAAAAGCUGUGUCAGGGAGGUGUCUCAAACAAACGUCAUCUGGGCGGGGCACCCGAGAGAAAAAAACCCUGUUUUACCUUAUUUUUUAUAAUAUUUUUAAACAAAUUUAAAAAUUAUAGGCUCAUCAUGGAGUCUGUUUCAUAAUUAAUAAAAUAAAAUAAAUAAAAUUAUAUAGGGCAUUCUUUUUUCUAUUUUUAAAAUAUAUUUUUUUAUAGUACAUACCAUACGGUUAAGUAAUACAUAUUUAACAAAUUAUAGUUUAACAAGCUAGUAUAAAUCUUUAGAUCAAUUGAUACAUAAUUUUGAAAAAAUAGUUAUUAUUAAUAUCGAUAUACAAUUUUUUAGCAUUGUCUAACAUAAAAAAAUUAUAUACAUACCAUUUUGUUUGAUUCCAUAAACUCUUGAGUGCAAAGAUCUUAAAAAUAGAAAUUGAUUUAAAAGAUAAUAAAGAGAUUUGAGAAAAGAAGGAAGAUCUCACAAAUGGUAUGGAUGGCUUGAUAAGAUAAAGGAUAGAUGGAGAUACUCGAUGAGAAAGAAAAAGAAUAUUUACAGUCUCUCUUUGUAGACGAAUUUUUUGGCACAUGCAAAUUAUUUUUUAAUUUUUUUGGGUUAUGGAAUUGACUGGGUCUAUUAUUAAUAAGAGUUCUAUCCUAUUUGACUUUUAGAUUUUUCACUUUAAAAUGUAUAUUAGAAAAAAUAUGGUAAAAUAAAAAUUCAUCCUAUGAUAUUUUAUAGUGUCGACCUUAUAUGAUUUUGUUCCAAAAAAAUCGAUAAAAUAAAAAAUCCGUCCAUAUUUCUUUCAUCGAUGCCGGCCCUUCAUCAUUUUGGUUCUGUCACGAUAUUGCGCAUCAAAAUUUUUGCUUGGACAGCUGCACGCCACGUGGUAUGGGUGGGGGCAUGGAGCACCAAUUUCCUUGUGACACGUUGUAUACGCAGCGACGCAGAAAGGUUUUACUGAUAGGCUCGGCCUUUUAGCAUUUUUUUUUAUUUCGUCCAAUCCGUCACUCGCGAGAAGAUGCUUAGAAAUACUUGGGAAGAAUAAGUUCACAUCGGAGGGGUUCGUUGCAAGCAUUACCAUCUCUCUGGCUUUAUAUAUCGGAUGAGAGCAUCACCACGCUUAGCAAUCAUGUCAUUGUUCAAGUCAUGAUUUGCAAACCGAGUAAACACUGGCAGGACUAAAACAUAGAAAUCCUGCAUGCUACCGUCCAUUGCAGUAAUAUUGUGAGGAUCUAUACAGGAAUUUAUUUAGUUUCAUAUCAGUUAUUUAUUAAAAAAAAAUUGGAUACUUAUAUGAACUUAAUAAAUAACUUUCGACUAGCUUUUUUUUGGACGAAAUCCCAAAUUGUGACAAAUAAUAUCAGAGCCAACUUGGCCAUAACCUAAGUAGAUUUAGGAACACUACAUCAUGAAUUUAUAGAGACUGACUACAGACCGAUCGUGGUGCUUGUAAUUAGAUUUGAACCUUUAGUACGACGAAAAUGUCAAAGCUUGAAUGGAAGAAGUAUGUGAGGAUCUGUGUGGGCGUGUGUUUAGUCCUACAUCGAUUAGUUACCAAAAAAUCUUGAAUAAUUAUACAGAACCAUGAAACCCAAAAAAUACUUUCCGACUAUACUUUUUGGACGAGGUCCUAGGUUGUGACAACUAUUGUUGGAUGAGCUCCAUGUGUUGCCAACUAAAAACUUUUACGAGUGAGUAUGAAGCAAAUUAGAUGCAGCAAAUAAUUAAUAUUCUUGUGAGUUCGUUUAGUUGAGGUACAUCAGAUUAUAGGAUAAUCUAGAUUUUUUUGCUAUUUUUGGUUGGUAAAAAAAUUACUCAAAUAUAUGGUAUUAGAAGAAAGAUGACUAUAUUUGAUUGAAGGCAAUCUUAUAUAAAAAUAUUAUCAAAUUUCUAACAAUAUUUUUAAAUAAAUAAUUCAAAUAAUAACAUUUGUUUUAUCAGUCCAUUUGUUGGCCAUUUAUGAUCCACUUACAUAAAUGGUCCACUUACAUAAAUGCUGUCAAUAUUAGUUAUUUUGAAUAUUGAAAUAUAUUUAUAUAACUUAUACACAUAGUUACAUAAAAUAUUGUUUAAUUUAAAUAUUUUUAAAUUAAUUAUACAUAUAUUAUAAAUUAUUUUUUCUAUUAUAAAUAAAGUUUUGUAUGUUUUGGUAUAAAAAUAAAUAUAUCAAUUAUUAAUAAUCAUAUUUUAGAUUUAUUGAUAAUUAAUAAAUUUUUGUUAAUUAUCUAUCAAUAACUAAUAUAUAUUUAUAAAUACAUAUUAAUAUAUUAAAUAUAUUACUUUUUAUAAAAAAAAUAUUCAAUGAUAUAUUAAUAUAAUAUUAAUAUAAUUGAUAUUAAUUAUAUAAUAUGAUUAAUACAAUAUUAAUAUAAAAUAAGUGAGGGCAUUUUUGUCAACAAAUGAUAGUUUUAGAUUACAUCCACUCGGUAAUAUAGUGUGAAAAAAUAAAUACCACUAUUUUUUAUCUUCUCUCUCAGAAAAUUAGAAAUGAGAUUCACUAUUUAUUUUACUAUCUCUCGCAUACACUUUUCAUAUCAAAUAUGGUAAUCUCAUAUGGGCUUUAUUUGUUGACACCAAAUUAUCCACGACAAAACAAGCCCUAAGGAGAAGAACAAGAAGAAUAAAUUAAGAAAGAAAAAAAAAGUAAGGUUCAAAAACCAAUUAAAAUGUUAGUUAAGAAUUAAACAUAGGGUUUUAAUCUCACCAAGAAAGAUAUGUCAUAUCUCUCGUCAGUUCCGACCCAAUCUCCAUUCGAAGAUUCGAUAGGUUGGGUCUCCAAAAAUUGGAUCUGAUGAAAACUCCUAGUCAUACUUAGGUUUUAUAUAUAGUUUUCAAUGCAACUCGACAUGUAUAUCAUUCGUGUCUCAUUUGGAUCUAUGGAAAAUCGAUCCAAUUCAACCUAAACACGAUCCGACUAUAUUCAAAAAUCUGAAUCAUAUAAACCUCGUUCUCCUUUACUCUAGACAUCUUUCCCAAUUAUAUUUUUUCAUUUCAAUAACUACAUAUUCUUUCAUCUAUUUUCAGUCAAUUAUAUUUAAAUGCAUUCACAUGCUCUAUUUGUUUUGUCGACUUCUUAUUUAUAAUGCCCUAUAUAUAUAUACAUGUAUAUUUUAAAAAUUAUAGUUUGUAAACUUAAAAAUGACCAACUACUUGGAUGAAAUUAAAAAAUUUUGAAUAAGAAUUCGAGUUAAAUUAGUUCUAUCUAUUUUUUAUAUUUUUUAGUAAUUUUAUAUUUAGUUAUUGAUUAUUCUAUAUUAGUUAUAAAAAAUAGCUAGAAUUUGACUACAAAAUCCGAUCUUACAUGUUCCGACCCGAAUCCAAAUAUUCUAAGUCGGAUCGAAGUCAUAUUUACCUCGACCCUACCCAAAUAAUCUAUCAAGUCUAAAAUCAUUCACAUCAAUCUGAUCUGAAGUGAUCGGUUAAUGAGUUGGCUCGAGCUUUAGAAUCAUGAUCUGAAUAUUAAAUUGGAUAUGGUUGGGGUAAAAAAAAACCCCUCCAGCCUAGGUUUGGUUUUUACAUGCUCACAUGUAUCCAUCGAAUACAGGAGGACCACAAAGCUGGAAAACGGCCGGUUUCCAUUGACUUCAAUCUGGUCUCAACUGUAUUAGCACGACAGGGGGUGCAAACGUUAACAUCCGGCCACGUCUGCAUGACUCCGCCAGCUACAUUAUUUGGUAAAGUUUUGCUGGUGAUCGAGGUCACGGUUGGUUUCAAUCAAUUUCCAUAUAAAUGCGACCAUGGCCACCAGCAACUACAAUUUUUCCAGCCAAAGCUAUCGAAAACGACUGAUCGCGCUCUUCCUUAUUUCCUGAUUAAAACCAUACUUUGCAUUUUGCUCUCAUCAUAAUGAGGCGAGAAAAGCUAGGCCACAGAGUUGGCGUAAAAUCAGGGGAACGGGGAAAGAAAUGGGUACUGCUUCGAUUUGGACGCGGGGUGGCGAAAAAGAAUUAUUAGAGCUUGUGGCCGGCAGAACGGUGAUGUGUGAGAACAAAAACGACAGAUAAAGUACCACGAUGGAAUAAAUUUUGUUAUAAAAAUAAUAAAACAAAACUACCUCGCCGUCCGUAGGAACCGAAUCCACGACCACAUGGUUAAAAGCCAUCGGCUGUACGCGCUGCCACGGAGCAUCGUACUGAUAUUUUCUAGAUAUAUUAAUAUAACUGACCGAUGCGACAAAUAACCAAGAGAUGCUCCUUCAAUGCUGUACUGGCUCAUGCAUUAUCUUUUCAAAUAUAAAAAAAUAGUUUAAACAGUGAGAUCAUAUUCACAACCAUACGGCAUAUAUGGUUGCACCUUUCUCGAUAAGCCAGCUAUACCUUUCAUCUGUUGCUCGUAAAUGCCAAGGAUGCUUAAAUACUCACCUGACAAAAGCAACCUAGUCGGUGAGGUUUGAGGGGCGGAGGGCCCACGAGGUCUGUUGUCGAGCGAGCUCUUUAUCAGAGAGUGGAGAUUAUUAAAUCGAUUUAUUUGUGAUGGCUAGGAACAUCUGAUACUUCCGUUUCGCUACUAUAGUGCCCAAAUUUGUUCUUGUUUUUUGGAAGCCUCCACUCUCUGGCCAUCUAAAAGUAAAUUUUGAUGGAAGCGUACCCGCCGUCGGUGAUUGGGCGUGAUCGGCUUUUGUGAUAAGAGACCAUGGUGCUAAGCUGGUUGCGGCUGGGAGAUGUCGGUCCUUCGACGACUCGGCUUUUGGGCCGGAGCUUAGGGCAGCAUGGAAGGAACUUUUCUAUGCGAGACAUGUGUUGCAGGCUGGCUGAAUCAUUUUGGAGGGGGUCUCUGCUUCGCUGAUCGCGCAUCUUCGGGAGGAGGGGCAGGACGAGGUGGAGCACUCGCUUCUGUGUGACAUGCAACGGAUGUUACGGGAGUGCCGGGCUAUCCAAGUCAGGCAUGUCCUUCGAGAGGCGAAUCAAGCUGCUGACUGCGUCGCCUCGUUUGCUGCUCACCACUCGGGAGAGUUUCUUCUCAUUUCCUUUUGCUUUCUGUAGACUUUUUGCUUCUGAUGUAGCAGAUUGUGCUCAUGUUAAAACAGCAUGAGCUGCCGUUGCACCAAAAGAAAAAAAAGAAGCAACCUAGACUUAACCCCCCCCUUCUUUUUUUUUUUGACAAAACACCAAUUAUAAUGCUUAUUGUUCUUCUUAAAAUGUGGUCAUUGUUUGCCUGAAAUCUAUCUCCAAACAUGCUAUAAAUAAUUAGGUCAAUAUAAAUUCGAAUAAAACUUAUUGAUUUGGUUUCAUGAAUAUAUACAAGCAAAACGACUUACUUUAAGGCUGGAGCUUAUUUUUUUUCCUUCUUUCUUUUCUUUAAUUUUUUUUCUUAAUUUUUUUGAAAGUAAGGGAGGGGAGACCUAGCCAAGUUGAAUUACAUGAAUCCAAAUACUUAAAGUACAUUAUUUUAGAUGCAAACACCUAGAAAUAAGAAUAUAAAUGAAUGACUUCCAUUCUAACUAUUUGGCUGAAGAGAGUUAGGAAUGCCUCAAUCCUCCAGAAUCUAAUUAUGACUAUUCUUUAUUAUUCAAAUCUCAUUCCGAUUUUAAUUCAAGUCAUAAAUAAGUGCAUAGAGAAAUAUAGCAAAUACAAUUACCGUUUCAAUCCAUUCUAAUUUUAUUUUCGAUUUCGAUUGUGAACUAAAAAAAAAAAAUUUCUUCUGUUUUUCCUUUUCCUAAUAUCAGCAAGAAAAUAAAAAUAUUGCAUGCCACCUCUUUCUCAUACGGUUCCACAUAAAGUGCUUUUUUUAUUUUUGUUUUUAAGAUUUAGGGGUAUAGGAUGGUAAAUGACCGAGCAUGGAUCUGAUAUCCAUCCCCGGUCUAUGCUAGCAUCUCGCAGUUUUCUUUUGUGCAUACAAAUUAAUUAUUUUUUGCUAUAGAGAGAUGAUUUGUGAAGAGCUAUAUAUAUAUAUUCGAAUUGAAUUUGGAACCUAUUUUACCAUUAUCUAUACCCGCUCUGAAUUUGCAAUGGAUUAUAUAAAAUCCACUCCAUUAGGUUCGGAUUGAGUCGAGUACUCGUUGGAGCGGAGUAAGUUGCCGCUCCUAGAGAAGAGAAGGUGCUCGUUGGAGCGGAGUAAUUUGCCACUCCUAGAGAAGAGAGAUCACCUGGAUCGCCAGUGUAGUUCCAACGAGAUAAAAGAAGAUCUUUAUAUCUUUUAUUAUUAGAUAGGGAUCAGGGUGCUUGACCGCCUUGCUCUCCUUCUCUAAUCUCCUGUUUCUUUUCUCUCCAUCCCUUUGUCUCUUUCCCUCCUGAUCCAGCCGAUCUGGUGAAUCAUUUCCAAACAGCCCUUAAUGUCUAGAAACUGCUUAGAAAAAUUGAUAGUGUUACUGGAAUUUGGACCCGGAGGCGACCACUGGGCCAGGAAGGAGGAGCUCCAGGAAGGCUUGGCGAAUGACGGCGACCCGGCAAUGUGCGGCGUCCUCCGGAAGACCUACAAGAGGCCGGUGGCCGGGGUUUCCGGCGCCGGCCAUCCGAUGCUUAAGUCAGAGGGGGCAAAUGUAUGAAUGAACUGUAGCCGUAAAUAGUCAGAACUUUUAUCCCUCCUUCCUUAAAAAUGGAGAAGUUCUCCUUUUAUAGAGAGGGCUGGGUUACCUGUGAUGUGACGGGGCGAAGGCACUGCCGUAUGGUUGGACGUACAGUGGGAGUUAAUGCUCGAUCACGUAAAUCAAUGCUGUCUUCGUAGGAGAUCAAGCUUGAGUCUUUGAAUUACUACGGAACCAUACUGUCGUUUAUGACCAAGUAGGUUUGCCGUGUGGAGCUAAACAUUCGUAGACAACAGGAGCCAUGCGUCUUAAUUGUUGAGUGAGCCAUACGAGCCACAUGCCUGCAGAGGUCACAUGCAUUGAUUAUCGAGUGAACUAGGCGUUCCGAGAGGCCAUACGCUUUAAUUGUUACGUGAGCUAAAUGACUGGGGAGGCCAUACGCAUCGAUUGUUAGUAAGGAUAGGGCACGAUUCGUGGGAGAAUACGAUAAUGGCGGUUUACCGCUCGAAUGCUUCCUAGUCGGAGGAGCCGCUUGGGCACUUUCAAGCCCUUCAGGAUCCACUCGGCCACCCCUUACUCAGAGGGAUGCCCGGUUGCCUCUUGCUCGGAGGGAUUCUCGGUUGCCUCCUGCUCGGAGGGAUGCCUGGUCGCCUCCUGCUCGGAGGGAUUCUCGGUCGCCUCCUGCUCGGAGGGAUUCUCGGUCGCCUCCUGCUCGGAGGCAACCUUUUUCCCCCAAACACAUAGAAUCUUAAAUAUUAACUGAAUGGAACAUAUUACCUCUCGAGAACCGCCUCUCUGUAAAAUCUGGAUACAAAGUUUGAUCUACUUACAUUGCAGCUAGUGGUGUAUCAAAUAUGUCAUAGAAUUAUAAUAAAUUUGAGCAUGUCGUGCUAUAUAAUUUGAAUUGUUGUUUGUAUAGAAGUGCCUAAUAUAUCUUAUUUUCCCCCUUUUAAUUGCAAAUCAUAUCUUGUUUUUGGUAGAUAAAUUAUAUCUUUAUGAAAUUUUUAGUUUAUCAUUCAUUUCCUGUUUAUUUCGGUGAGCAUUUAUUUCCUUCGAAAGUUUGUAAGCAGUUAUGUAACAGGCCGGAUGAAUCUAUCUUUCUGAUGGGCCUUCCGAGCCACUUUGCUGUGGACGGCGAUUGAGACAAAAUCUAGGCCUGGACUUCUAUUCGGGAACUGUUUGAAAGGCAACCACUUGGGCCGCCAUAGCUUCCAUUCUCUCUCGGAUGCGUUUUUUCUAUGCUAAAUAUAAUUAGAUAAACGGAUGUAACAUUUAUGUGGCGACAAUUUCCAGAAUGAAGUCUGUCUACAUGCAUCUACUAAAAUGUUAGACGUCCGAAUCCUAAUCUCUUUUCCAAAUAAUUACAUCUGUAAUGUCUGUUUGAGUGAGAGAAGUAAAUUUUUUUUUUUUGAGGAAAGGAGGGAAGGAGCCCUGCUCGAUCUUAUUAAGUAGAUGAAAUCGCUACAAGGGUAGAGAGAAAAGAAAACAAAAAAUACAAAGUAAACAAAUAAAAGACAAGUUAAAGUUAAAAUUACAUACCUUUCUUUCCUUUUACAUGAUAAAUCCAUCUUCGCAGCAUUUGAGCUAAGAUUGAUGAUCUGAUCUUGAUUGCUGCCAUUAUUUCUUUAAAGGUCCGGUUGUUCCUUUCAAUCCAAAUUGACCAUGGGAUGAUGGCUAGAAUGAUCCAUCCGAAGGGAAGUUUGGAUGGUGAGAGUGCAAUAAUUAAGUCAUCCAGAAUAUGAGGGGCAGAUCAACAAAUCUACUUACAUAUAAACUAAGAAAUACAUAUGAAGAAAAAUUCAAUCUCAGCAAUGUGUUCACAUGGUAUUCUCAUCCUCUACCCGAUUUGCUUUGCAGAUCUUCUUCCUUGCUCUCUCUAUUAGGAUGGAUGCCUAGACACAGUAAUGCUCAGCUUUCGAUCUCCUUAUCUCUAAGGAUAGAGCUAUUGGUGCAUUGAAUUUUUCCUUUGGAGCAUCCUUGGACAUCGAUGCAGUUAUUAAGGAGAGGGGCAUUUGCACAAGAAAUUAUUGGCAUGAUCCUUCUUUCAACUUAUAAGGCAUGGCAAUUAGCUGGUAGGGAUAUUACAAAGAAUCUUCUUGAAUUUAUCAUAGAUAGCUCAUUUUUCUUCUAAAUUUUUAAUCUUUUUUCAUUUUUUAUCUCUUUGUUCUUUGAUUAAUUUAAUAAUUUGACCAUACCUGCUCUAAAAAAAUAUAAAAAAAAUCCUACUAAUAGUCAGUCUUAAAAUGCUGACCCUCCAAUGAUUAAUCUCACUUGUUCCAUGAAUUGCUGUAAGUGAAAUCAAAUCCGUCCUCCCUGUGGUGAAAUACAUUAGUGAGGAAUCUUAUGCAUGUCCUCCAAGAAACCAGAGUGGAAUUGGGCUGGCCAAAUAAAUGUUCACCCAGCUGGAUCUCCUCUGAAACCAUCUAAUAGGACAAAAAUCUUUUAGGAAAGUGCGUUUCCCAGUUCGUUUCUCGUAUAUAACUAUGUCAAACCAAGGACAGCAGUGGUGCCAUGCGGACCAAUCUAAGAUUCCGUUCUUUUGUUACUGGAUUCUGACAGCGUAUCCGACCAGAGAGGUCAAAUCCAUCGCUAAGGCAUCCACGUGGCAGAAACUUAUAUUUAAGUACAAAAAAAAUUCACGAAUCCUCCGACGGCCUGCGACGGAUCAAGCAGACGGGAACCCGCUGCCGUUCCGGAGCGUCUUCCGUCCCCAUUUGUACACGUGUACAGCAAGGAGGCGGUCAUUACCAUGUUUGGUAUCUGAAGCUUGACUCUCGAUCUCCUCCAGAGCCGGCGAAGGGCGGCCAGCGUGCUCUCGCGAUGACCGGAACGCCCUCGGCCCGGUUUAAAAAUACGAACGCGUACUCUGUCCCAUCUCCAUCUCCUGUACUUGAUGGCCAAGAGAUGAGACACCAGAGAGCCAAACUGUGGUAGCUCUGGCGAUCACCAGCGAAGACGACGGUGGUCUCGAUGGGCUCGUCGAUGAGCUGGUGCUGUGGUGCCAAGAGGGUCGAUCAAGGGUAAGUAGGGGUGUUGAACUCAAAGUUUCAUUGAAUUAUUACGGUACGUGGUGGAGGUCUCUCAACUGUGUCCAAUUUUUCUGGGCUUAGAUUUGUAAAUGGAGCAGCUAAUAGUUCAUGGAGGAUAUUUACCUACAAGGAGCUAUAUGCAGCCACUAAUGGAUUCAGCGAGGACAAUAUGCUCGGCGAGGGUGGGUUUGGAAGCGUUUACUGGGGAAAGACAACUGAUGGGCUUCAGGUAAUUGGGGCUCUCAGUUUUGGGCCUAAACUUGAUGUUAUCAAGAAAUUUGUGCUGUAAUUUGUACACGUAGCUCUAACUUGGUUUCUUCUUUUCGACCUUGUUUUUGAAUUGAGGCUAUAUAGAUAGCUGUGAAGAAGUUGAAAGCCAUGAAUUCGAAAGCUGAGAUGGAAUUCGCAGUAGAGGUUGAGGUCCUUGCAAGGGUUCGACAUAAGAACCUGCUUGGUCUUAGAGGUUAUUGUGCUGGAGCGGAGCAUAGGCUUAUCGUCUAUGACUACAUGCCCAAUCUGAGUCUGUUGUCCCACCUCCACGGCGAGUUCAGGGGUGAAGCGCAGUUGGACUGGAAAAGAAGGAUGAAUAUCAUACUCGGAUCCGCAGAAGGACUGGUGUAAGUUUCUCUAAAAUACCUUGCUUGAGCAAAGAUUCGUACAAUAAUUUUACUGCUUGUCAGUGUUGUUCAUGCAUGAAAGCAGAAACUAGAAGAUAAGUUGUUGAGCGAGACCAAUUUUAGGAGAACAUAGGCAAAAAUUUCUCUUUUGGCACUGUAUAUUUUUACAGUGAGCUAUUGCAGGAAACAAUUCAAGUGUCUAACCCACGGCCUACGCAAAGAUUAACCGAGCUUAAAGGGUGCGAACCACAAUAUUUCCCGGCUUCAAUUUCAUCCUGUUUUAACUUUAUAAAACCUCUUAGAGCUCUUGACAUGAUAUCUGUUUGCAUGGAUUUAACUUCAACCACUUGGGUUCAAAUCGAGUGAGUAAUUGGAAGCCCAGAGAGUUGGCGUUAGGUUUGAGCAUGCAAUUCAAUAAAACAUUGUACUCGACCCAGUUUUAUCCCUGUCCAACCCAAUGAUCGGCUGGUUGCGACGAAGUCAGAAUUGGGCCUAGGCAUUGCACGGGCUACCAACAAUCCUGGACCCGACUAGGCUGGAUUCCUGGUCAUCCUGCUUAUGACCUGCACCAGGCAACUUGUAUAUAUGUGGUCGAUCUCUCAACAGCGAAAUUGGUGAUAUUUAAUGAACCCUUUGGGUUCAGCGGAUUAUUGGCGGUGCAGAUGAUUGCUACCUCUUGAUCCGAAACAUCCGAGCCAUGGUCUAUGGUGAGGUGGCUUUCCAGGCUAUGCAUGUUUACAGAGAGGCUAACGAAGCUGCGGACUAGAUAGCCUCAUAUAUAGCCAAUUACUUCUGGGUUGGGAAGAGUGAGCUGCCUGGUGCGCUCUGAAAUAUGCUGUAUUUUUACUUUUUUUGGAUGUAUCUGUACUAAGAUUGUAUGAUUCAUCUGUCUCAGCCAAAAAAAAAGAAAAAAAAAAAGAAGAACCCACGCUACAAUUUCUCCUGCAGAUGACACCUGAUUCAUUUCUGCCCAAUGUGGCUGAAAAAGGCCAAAAAUUAAUUUAGCUAAUUUUGAGAAAAAAAUUAAAAGAUCAGACGAAACAAACUUGAUGCAAGAGCUUUGGUAUUUCAGGUAUCUGCACCAUGAGGUGAAACCCCACAUCAUCCACCGGGACAUCAAGGCGAGCAACGUUCUCCUGGACUCCGAGUUUGAGCCCCUGGUUGCCGACUUCGGCUUCGCCAAGCUCAUUCCCGACGGGGUAAGCCACAUGACCACGAGAGUGAAGGGCACGCUGGGUUACCUCGCCCCGGAGUACGCCAUGUGGGGCAAAGUCUCCGAGAGCUGCGACGUCUACAGCUUCGGCAUCCUCCUCCUCGAGCUCGUCUCCGGCCGCAAGCCCAUCGAGAAGCUCCCUGGCGGCCUCAGGCGCACCAUCACCGAGUGGGCCGAUCCCCUCAUCUCCAAGGCUCGCUUCCGGGACCUCGUCGACCCGAGGCUCCGCGGGGACUUCAACGAGGCCCAGCUCCGGCGAGUCAUCGAGGCCGCCGCCCUCUGCGUUCAGGGGGAGCCCGAGAGGAGGCCCGACAUGCGUGAGGUAGUGGCGAUCAUCAAAGGAACGGCGGCCCAGGGGGAGGGAAUGAGGAUAGAGAGCAUCAGGUAUAAAGAAGACCUGAUGGCCAUGGACCAGAACAGCGAUGAUGAUAUAGAUGCUUAUGCUUAUGAUGUUGAUGAUGAUGAUGAUAUGAGAGGUGGGAAGUUUCGAAGGGAGAGCAGUGUUUAUGGGGUGUUCGGGAAGAUGGAUGUGCAGAAGAUGGCUGAUCCCUACGUGGGCUAUGGGGGUAGGAGGGAAAUGGUGCAUGGUUGAUGCAUGGGACGUAGCCAAGUGGUGGAAUGGAUGUUAUCUCCUCGUUGGACUUGUUGCCUGUACUGGUUGAUGGUCUUUUUAUCGUGUGGGCCGGUCGUUCUAAUAUUUGAAGCACUGAACUGUAAUUUUGAUGUGCAGGCAAGGUUUAGUGGAACACCCUUGUCUGUAUUGGUACAUUGUGAAGGCGAUUAAUAAAAUGUGACAUGUCACAGGACAUUCUUCUUAUUUUAUUCGAUUGAAGGAAAUACUAGUAAUUUUAUUAGGUGUGCUAUAAGAUGUUUUUUUUCCUUUCCAAUAUAAUUGCAGGAAUAUUAUAUUUGAGUCGGAAGAAAUGGUUUGAACCUCUUAUUUUUCGAACCGAGGGAUCCAUGAAUCGGAAUCUUGAUGCAUAUAGAUACAAAUAUUUCAAUAAAAACAAAAUUUUUUAGAAAUAUUUGAAAAAUUACAUUUUUGAACAGGAGAAUCAUGUUCAAAUAAUGCUCAAUCGAUCACAUAUGAUAAAAGAACUGUAUAAUGAGAGUAGUUUUUUUCUGAAUAUUCCAAACUCUCCAAACCUUAGCGAAGGUUAGAUUCGGUCCUAGGCCACUUGAUCUAAUCGCCAAGGGUUUUACGAGCUGGUGCAUGUACUGCUUCAUACGGUGCUUUUUCCUUACCAAGCAUUGUUAAAUCUAAUGUGACUCAAAGAUAUAAGCCCCGUUUGGAUGUGGGUGUCGGUUAUCCACCCAUGACUCAAAACUUCUUGUGAGGGAAAGUGUCGCAUUUGGGAGAACAAUUCAGAUCUUUGGAAGCUAAGCAAUUCAAAAUAUCUAAGUUUUAAACAUAAUAUAAACAUCUCUCUAGUCUCUAUCAUAACUUUUUCUCUCAAAAAAUCAACCCGCUUUGAGAUCUGUACAGGCAGAGGAAAGAAAGAGGUUAGUGCUUUGAGAGCUGUGCGAGUCGAGAUCUAACGGUUCAUGUUUUCUUUCGCGCGAAAGAGACAGCCACCCGAUGUGAAUAAAUAGCGUGGCCUUACCACUGAGGUGGCAGCAUGGUUGGAACGGCGCUGAGAUUCUACUGAAGUGGCUCAGGUUCGAAAUGCGCGGACGUCGAUUAAAUGCGGAACCAGAUGCCUCUCGUCUGGUUUAUCCGAUGGAGUUCCCAUCUGGUCUGCCGGUAUUUAGGUAGUAUUGGUGUGACGUACUCACACAGGGAUAGAACUGCCAGGUGUUCCAUCAUGGGUGAAGAGGAUAUGAGUAAAAAAUAUUUUAUCCGUAUCGAACAUUCUUCAGUGGAAGACCGAAAGUUGUUACACGGUUGAGGCUCUCCUCACCCCCUCUCUUCUCUUUUCCAAAGAAAAAAAAAAAUAACGUUUUCGCUUGAUCCAAAAUAUUGAAUCCUUGAAUACUUUCCCACGAUUUCCGCUCUCUCGCGAAAAUUCACGCGCGCUUCCCUUCUCUCUGGAAGCCACUGUGACCAUAGAAGAGGUGAAGGUAUCGAGUUUUCUAGCCGCAUCCACGCCCUACUUUCGCUCUGCCUCUGUUGAUUUGGGAACAGCGAUUAUUUAGGGUUUGCGGAUUCCCCCAUGGGAGUCCGAGAAAAACCCUUCCUUGAAUUGAUCUCUGCCUCCUCUCAUCUCUAGCGGCAAAUUCCUCCCUUGCUCCUCUUUAAUGUGAGCUCGGGGCAGUCAACGGCAUGGAGGGCGUCGCCGAAUCGGAGCGGAAACUGCCGUUGGUCCCUUGCUCUUCGAAGGACAAGAAGGUAUGACCUGAAAUACAUUUCAUGCACUUCUUCUGAUGGAUUACGACUAAUCUUACAAGAUUUUAAGGUAGCUGUGAUGGUUUCAGAUGCGUUUAUGCUGUCGAUUAGCUUGUGUUAGGUUUAACUCGCGUUAUCGGACCAAAGUUCGUAAUUUGGUGGUUUGAUCCCAGUUCCCGAUCGAUAGGCUGCAUAUAAUUUGUCUCAAUUCUAUACUGUGGCUUUCCUAUAGAGUCCAUUAUUUUGUCGUCCGGUGCAUCAAACAUAGAAGCAAUUCUUUUAUUUGCUGCAUUGAUAUCGUCUUUCCUUAUGAGUUUGCAUCGGUGUACGUUAAGUGCUAUGUUCUGAGUAUUAUGAAUUUUCCCUUUUAAUGAAAGCAUAUAAAAUGAUAUUGCAAAGGUUUUGGAGCACUCUUGAAUGUUGUUGAAGGAAAAAAAGGGAUGGAUUACACGAUAUUGUUCUCAAAUCCAUGUCUUCGACAUGGCGCAUGCAUUGUGUUGCCACGGGAAGCAUAUAAAGAUAGGAUUUACAUCAGAAAAACCAAGUUAACAGACAUGUAGUCUCUUUCCCAAAAAAAUGAUCAAGCCUAAGCACCACAAAUUGUCAGUUGGAUUGAUUAAGGGAAUGACGGAAGUGUGCCCCAUUGGUCAUACCCUGAACUUGAACAUUGCCUUAAGAUCUUCUCCUUUCAAAAAACGGUUAGGGUGGAACUUUGGGCCUGCAACAUGUAAUAUUGUCUAGUAAAUGGCAGGGCUGUCAAGGAACAUUUGAUUGGUAGUAGAUUUGCAAUAUCCGGGCCUGGUGGUUUCACAGGUCCUCACAAGGCAUUGCUCGAUUGGAAGCUCUGAUGGGAGGACUGUUGGGGAAACAUAUAAUGUGGUGAAGUAAUAAGAUUUGUUUGUUCUCCUUGAUUAGAAAAGCAAGGUAAAUGGUUUAGCUAUAAAUCUAAUUGGUACCUCCUGAAUGUUUACUGGUCCUUUUAUCUUUUAUUCUAACAAUAUUUAUUUUUUAUGGAUGUCAUCAUUUUACUUUGUCUAAAUUGAUACAUUUCUCCCAUGUUAGAUUCUUUUACUUUAUCGAAAUUGAUCUGUGUGCCAUGGUUUUCGGAUAACAAUCUGUAUGCCAUGUGGGAUUGUACAUUUGACGAUGAAUUUUUCAAUAUCAUUGCUCUUGCAUGUUCUAUUAUUGGUCUCGUUGUGCUGUGCCCACUCCCAAGGCAAAGGAUAGUAUAAGCUAGCUUAACAGUUGAAGACUGAACUGCUCGUUUAAUUUGUGCUAUUAUUGAUAGUACAAGCUGGCUUAUCACACUUGAAGACUGAACUGCUCGUCUAGUUUGUGCUAGUAUUACUGUUUUACUUGAACUUGAAUAAGAUCAGAGAAAUAUUUUUUUAAUCAAAUAAUCAAACGGUGCUUCUAUCAAACAUCAAACCAGGAAUUGAAGUCUUGUUUCUGUAUUUUACAAAACUUAAUCUUCCAAUAAUACUGAUCAUGGAUGUCUAGAACUUGGGAUUGCUUAGUUUAUCCUGCUACUCUUAAUUUUGAUGUGUGUAUUCGUGCUUAUUUCUUUUUUGAAUGCAUGAAACUUCAACCUUAUCUAUUCUUAUAAAGAAUCAACCACAUCUGCUUAUUAUCAGUUGUCAGGAUGUUUGGGAUGGUUCUUUUUUUUUUUUUGUUGCAAUCAACUUCAGCACAAGCCAAUGAAAAUAUUCUGCUAGAAUUGAUGCAGUUUACAUUGAAAAUUUAAUGGUUCAGUUGCUUUACUGAAAGAGAUUUUCAAGGACAAAUUUGUUAGGGCCCAAUUUCUAUGCCUAUUGUCUCAUACACUUUAUUGUGAAGGGCAAACAAACAUCCAAGGUUCCAAUUAGGAUUGGCGAUCGUGCAACUAGUGAUGUAAUUGUCAGGCUAAGGACCGAUGAAGGGCGUGAUAAUUGGUUCUACUGCCAUUCGCAGAUUCUCGUAGAGAAGAGCAAGUACUUUGCAGAUCGCCUUUCUGAGGACUGGCCAACAUGCCAGAUCCUUGAUUCUCGAAAUUGUGUUGAAGUAUACUGUCGAGAAGUGGAGUUCAACUUUCAUGUCAGUGCCCUCCGGCUCCUCUACGUAACAGAGCCACACACUUGGCAUGGUGUAAGGAACACACUUGGCAUUCUCCAGGUUGCUGACCACCUUGGCUGUCACCAGAUGGCUCGUGAUUGUAUUGACUACCUGGAAGCUGUCCCCUGGGAGGAGGCCGAGGAAGAGGAGAUAUUGAGGACCAUCCCUUGUCUUGGUUCGCAAUAUGGGCAGAUCCUUGCACGCCUUCGGCCUGUCGACCCAACAGCGGUGCUUGGGAUUUUCAUCUCUGCCAUCCGUUUUGCUACAUCAUCACCCCCUCCAUCAAUGCGAGAGCUAAAGUCUUCUGCUCAGGAUCAGCUUGAGUAUAUGCUCACUGAGGAUGACGAUGUCCCUAUUCUGGCCUUCGACAAUGAGGUUAUGAAAUUUGAAGUCAAGAAUUGUGUGAGGGAUCUUUUAAACAGAUUCAAUCACCUGAUAGAAUCUUUCUUAAGCACAUCUCCAGACAUGAACAGGAUGCAGGACCUGCAAUCCCUUCUGUCUGACAUCUCAUGGAUUUGUCAGAUUUUGAGUAAGAUGGAAAUGAUGAAGGAACUGAUUCAUUAUUGGGUGGACGCAUCUGUUGACAUAAUAAAAGCCAUUGAGCAAGUGAGUACAAAUGUUGACAUGCUGGACGCCAGAUUGAAAGUGGUUGAAGUGGCCUCCAAGGUUUUGGAGGCAAUAGGGUUCGGGAAUAUCAUACUUCCAACUGCAAAGAGACUUCAUGUGGUGAAGGUUUGGCUUCCAUUUGUGCAGAGAACAAGACCUUUGGUGGAGCAAGUUCAACCUAAUGGCGAGGAAGUGUUAUCGGUUAGGAUAGACAGUGAAAUCUGGCAGAGCUUGGAAUCAGCUUUUGUUUUGAUCGUGCUUACCUUGCCAUCACAGGACCAGGCAGAGAUACUGGCAGAAUGGCUGAGGUCCGAGCAUGUCCGAUACCCAGACCUGACAGAGGCAUUUGAGGUCUGGUGUUAUAGGUCUAAGGUUGCCAAGAGGAGGCUUGCAUCAUUAGGUGGUCCUGGCACUAUAAGUUAACCCUCAUAUUUCUCCAUUAUUAUCCCUUUUUUUUGUGGUAAGCACUCCAUUAUUAUAUCAUACACUUCAUUGUGAAGUUAUGCCUUCACAGAUGAGCUGGACGGGAUGUCAUGUACAUGUCCUUAAUAUUGUUCAUGUAAAUUUUCCAUUUUAUAUUAAAUUGGUUCUCUUCCAGGAAUUCAUCAGAUAAUUAAAAUUUCUUUUUCAUUCUGUAUGUUUCAGCAAUGUAUUAACUACUCAUUGUAUUUGUUGUAUUGCUAUUAAAAAAUUGAGCACAUUAAGGAUGUUUAAGUGGUUGGAGGCAGGGCGUCUCUUCUACAAUGCCAACCAGUUAUGUUGUCAUCUUUUUCAUGUGAGGAAAUUUGGUGACAUAUCAUCACGGNNNNNNNNNNNNNNNNNNNNNUUUUUUCUUUUCUUCUCUCUCUCUCUCUCUCUCUUCUCUCUCUCUCUCUCUCUCCUUUUCUUUUUUGUGGUUUUGUACAUAUAUUUUCUAGUGAACAAGAAAUUUAUGAUCAAAGGCAUGUCAAGGUGGUGCUCCCCAGAAUGUCAUGAUGCACGUAUCUUUAUUUUUUCUCUCCAAGAAGUUAGUUUGCAGCAUGUCAUUGGACCUUCAUCAGCACUGGUCUACUUCCAUCAUGUAAAGUUCCACUGGAAUAACGAAAUCCUACUAAAACUAAAUGGUGUAGUCAUCUCAUCAUUACCACUCGAAACUUAUUAUUGGGCCUAGUCAAGUAGAAGGAUAUCUUUCCUCAAAUCCUUCCAUUCCCUCCCUUCUUGCACCCCUCUUGCCACCUCAGUGGUAUAAAUGAAUAAAAUACCAAAGCCUCUCAUUCUGUCAGGAGGUGGAAUCCCUCCACGGUUAAAGGCUAAUCAGUGAUUUAUGAACCUUUCCAUCACCUCCUUGUCCGCAUGCUUUGGCUUCAACAACAAGAUAGAAUCAAUCUCUGAGUCUUUGCUUCCACCCCAAACCAAACCACUCACCAACCAGGCCAUUAUACUGUGGAGGCUGAAAACAGCGGUGAGAAGGCCAUCUCUCCCUCCAUCUAUUAAUGAGACGAUUCAUUUCCUCUUCCCUCCCUCCCUAUUCUGCUAUGCUUCUUAAGCAAGUCAGUUUGAAUGACAUCAAACAGUGGUCUCCACUACCCACCUCUUCCCAUCUCCAUCCAUGCAAUUCUCUAUUCUACAUAUUUCAAACUUCUUUGCGACAUGGCAUCCCUCGUUCGGUCUUAGGAAAGCAACAGGUCUAAUCCUCUGCUUCUCAAAUGGAUUCCAUAGAGGAGCAUUCUCUUUCCAGUAAAAUACUCAUUGGUAUCUCACUCGACGCACGAGCUAGCAGUGAGCUUCUUUCGUGGGCGGUUGGAAAUGCAGCUCAUCCAAAUGACACCAUUGUUGCCUUCCAUGUUCUCGGUUGGUUUAGAUCGAUAUAUCCUGUAAAAUCUAGAGCUUUAUGUCGGUAUCUUAGAUGCUAUAUAUCUGUUAAAUUUUCUGACAGUUAGAAUGCUCACUAGAUAGUUAGAACACUACUCCUAUUUCUAACUUUGGUUUGUAUCAGUUGGGAAAGGAGAGAAGAAAAUUAACUCAGAUAAGACUAGACUGCGCCAAGCGAAGAACUUUGUGAUUUCCAUGCUUGGAGAGUUUGUUGAUAUCUGUGAGACUAAGCAGGUAAACUGUUGCAAAAUUUGUCUAUGCUGCAGUAGGUUAUGCUGUGGAAUCUGGCGAAAGCGUUGUAAAAUGUUCUCAUUUUUUAGGUGACGCUGGAGGCAAAGGUUAGGAGCAGCUCGAGCAUUGGAAGGGGUCUUACCGAUGAGGCAGCAUCGAUCGAUGCCAACUUUCUUCUUGUCGGUGGCUCGAGGAAUUCAUCCCAAAGGUGAGGCUACUGCUGCCACCCGCACCCAGAUUCGGUUCCUGAUAAUUCUCUUUUUUCUAGCUCUCUCUUUGCAUUGCUUCUUAUACACGCGCUUUAAUUAUGCAUUAGAAAUUCAUUUGAAAUCACAAAGUAUUGCAUCAAGUAUGCUCCCGAAGGCUGCUCGGUUGUCGCUGUUGGAAAACCAGGUCUGCUUCACAAUUGACACUUUUUUGGAUUCUCUAACAUGUGAAGGUACGAGUAUUCUAAGGUGUGCUUCAAAAGUAUUCUAAUGUUCUGUCAACCUACAACAGGAAACCAAUCUUUGAGCUCGAGAUGGAACAACAAAAACGUCGAUGUGGAUAAGGCUCCAUCCCCUCUGCAGAAGCUUUUUGGGUCAAAUUCCAAGAUAGAGAAGAGGCUUUCAUCCUGUCAAAGUACCUGCGAGAAGAGCUCGCCUAGAGCUGUUCUAGAUGGACCUGAGGGAGAGAACCCUGCUCCAGAGGAGUGCUUUAGUCCCUCUAGCAAUGAGACUAGCGGUCGCAGCCGGUCCGGCAUUUGGAGGCGCCUUUCUAUUGCCAAGCUGUUCUUUCCUUUCUUUCGUUCUACAGAGCACUUAGCCGGAAAGGAGACUGAUGGGUGCUCGACCUACACUGAAGACCAGAAGCCUUCUUGGAGAUGCUUUAGCUAUGAAGAGAUUUCUAGUGCUACAAAUAACUUCCACCCCGGUAAGAAGUUUUCACCAACUUUUUGACAGCAUACAUAAUUUAUUUUUCUAUUAUCCUGCAUCACAUUCUUUUCCAGUCUUUUUUCUUACUAUUCAAAAUAUUUCUAAUUAACAGUGUUUUUUUAUUAAAGAAACACUUAUCCAGUUUGCUAUCCUUUUUUUUUCCGGAAAAAAAGAGAUCCACCUCCAUAUUUCAGUACAUUAAUCUAUGUUAAUAUAAUCCUACUCUGCUCAAUUGUGUAUAUUUUGGCACCGAUUUCAAUCUACAUCUCUUUGAAGUACAAGGGAAAAAAAUACAAGGUGGUUAAUUUGUUUGGAUGAUUCAUGGUGUUAUUCAUAUUUUGUGGAUUUUUUUUUUUGGAAAUCAGACAAUAUGGUCGGUAAAGGAGGAUAUGCGGAAGUAUUCAAAGGAAACCUCCAUGACGGCCAAGCUGUAGCAGUGAAGAGAUUGGCUAGAGGCAACACCAGUGAGCAAAAAGAGAAGGAAUUCCUUACAGAACUAGGCAUAAUUGGGCAUGUAUGCCAUCCAAACACAGCCUCCCUGAUAGGCUGCUGCAUUGAGAAUGGACUUCAUCUGAUCUUCGAUUUUGCUGCUAAUGGAAGCUUGGCAUCAGCUUUGCAUGGUGAGGAUUCACCCAUUUUCUCUUUUGUUUGCUCGUCGAAGUUGAGGUACAUGCAGAUUUUGUAACAUGCUUUCAGGUAAAAAUGGCAAGUUCCUCGCGUGGUCGGUGAGAUAUAAGAUAGCCAUGGGGAUUGCUAGAGGUCUGCACUACCUUCACAAAUGCUGCAGGCGGAGAAUCAUUCACCGUGAUAUAAAGGCUUCCAAUGUUCUCCUUGGGCCAGACUUUGAACCCCAGGUGAAGGAUUGAGUUCAGUCUGAUUUAGAAUUAGCAGGGUACCUGUGUAUAUAUGGAUUUCUUGGCUUGAUUGGGUAUUUCUUCUUACAGAUUUCAGAUUUUGGACUGGCAAAAUGGCUUCCAAAACAAUGGACUCAUCACUGUGUCAUCCCAAUAGAGGGCACUUUUGGGUAAAUAAUUGCUAGUCUUUGCAUUGAACAAGUUCAUGAGAUACAGAAUGGGAAAGCUCUGAUGACAGCCUCUAACGACUCACUGAAACAUCAAAGACAGCUCUUUCAAACAAACCUCAAACAAUGAGCAGUGACAUCACUAAAUCUUCAUCUAAAGCCUUCUCUAAGUCCAUUAGACUAUGAGCUUAGUUAAUGUAAUAAAGACUAGUAAUAAAGAUCUAUAGGACAUUCCUAAAUUGAAGCAUGCUUCUGAAACGUGAGCAGGUAUUUGGCGCCAGAGUACUUCAUGCAUGGGAUUGUUGAUGAGAAGAUUGAUGUUUUUGCCUUUGGGGUUCUGUUAUUGGAGAUUGUUACUGGCAGGAGGCCUGUGGAUUCAUCAAAGCAGAGCCUGCUCCUUUGGGUAAAUAAGCUAAAAAAAAAACACGCGUCCAGUCUUAAGUCAACUGAUUGCUCUCUUACUCAUAAAAUUUAGCAUUGUCCAGGCCAAGCCACUUAUAGACACUGGGAGAAUAGCUGAACUGGCUGACCCAAAGCUCGAAGGUAAAUAUGACCCGGAUCAGUUGCAGAAAUUAGUGCUCACUGCCUCCUGCUGUGUGAGACAGACAUCUAUCUGGCGUCCAUCCAUCAGUGAGGUAAAUCCCAAGCUUGUUGAAAAUUCUUAUUUAGAAAACAAAGCCCAAAAGAAGUGUGUUAAUGUCUUCUUGCUGUAUAAAAAUCCUCUCCCCUCCAGUGGUGAUAAAAUCCAUUUUUUCUUUUUUUUUGAUAUGAAGCGGUGAUAAAAUCUUGUUAGACUUACCAUUCAAUUAGAAUAAAACCAACUUGGUUCAACAUUAUUGGGACUGAUUUUUUUUUUUAAUGAUGAGAAAAUCAUCCUGUAUUAAUUGUAAUAUGAGAUUUUUUUCAACGAUAAUUUACUUCUUUUCAUCAUCUUAGGAGUUUAGAUUCCUUAACUAAUACAAAUUAGUAUUGAAGCUAUAAAUUCAGCAGAAAUUUAUGUGAAAACCUGAAAUAUUAGAUUAUUUGAGUAUAUGUUGUCUGUCUAAAAUAAACGGAAUAGCUGCUUAACAUUAUAAGAAUAUUAAACACAAACCAAGGGGCCUUGGACUGCUUUAUUCCUCGAAAUGCAUUCUUUUAAGACUUAUAAUAUGCAGAAGGUAUAAAAAUUCUUCUUCUUUGCAGACAGAUCGUUUUCAAGUAUAAAUAUAAAGAACUUAAUUUGAGUCUUGCAUUCAGGUAUUACAGCUCCUAACAGACUGCGAUGACUCCAAAGUAAUAGAAAGCUGGAGGAUGCCCGAAAGCCAGAUCGAUGAAAUGGAUGAUUGGAGUUUGGGUUCAGACUUCUGCUAUCCCUACUAGCCAUCUCUUCCACAAAAUAUUGGUAGGUCUAGAGUUUGUUUUCGUUUUUUGCACUGGUUUAGAAUAUGAUUGACUGAUAACUAUGAGAACCAUGAUGAAGUUAUUUGGUCUUUGUAAUUUAUUGUGAUAGGCAUGGAUGUCAAGGUUUUGAUUUCUCUCUGUUUCAAUGCCAUGUUAUAUGAUUUUGUGAUAAAAAAAGACUUGAAGAGAAUUGCAGAUACAUGUCCCAUUUUGGAGGUGGCUAAAAAUAUGUUUGAUCUCAGGUAAUUGAAACUAUAUAAGGAAUAAAUUUGGCACGAUCAAAGAAGCAAACCAAGACUCUCCAACUUUAUGUCGCAUUGUCUAAUCCAAAACAAUGAUAAGAGAAAUUGGUGCAACGACAGAAGCUGCAUUACAAACCUGAAAGUGCGGCAUGGAGAAAAGAUUGGAAAAGAAAAUAGGAGAUGGGCAGAAAGAAUACGCUGUAGCUUUUGAGGCUGAUAGAAUUUCAUCGAGCAUCACAAAUCACAGCCAUCACCCCCCUUACAUUUCAAAAUGCUUGAAAAUUCACCGCAACUAUCUCAAGAGAGGUUAACGCAUGAACAAUGGUGCCACCAAAAAAACCACGGAAAGGCUAUAUUAAACCAAGUAGUCAUACUCUUACGUAUUAGAAAGCUGGUGGUAAACCAACUCGGUGCGCAGUCCUAACCUUAAUAGUAAAAUCAGAUGCAUGCUAACACUCAACUAACUGCAUAGUCUCAGCCACUCUCGAUCCCAAUCUUGCAGCAUCCAUACCUACACUAAUCGCACCUUAAAUAGUUUCCAUGCUGUAAGAAU
Molecule: long non-coding RNA, 76159 nt
Filed under: Phoenix dactylifera (date palm)
Lineage: Eukaryota; Viridiplantae; Streptophyta; Magnoliopsida; Arecales; Arecaceae
Description: long non-coding RNA (PDAC_LNC000708)
Source: RNAcentral